CAGGACUGGUGCGUUUAGGCACCUAAACUUCAUCGAAAGUGUUUAUAACCUUCAAGCUGGGGAUCAUCUUGUGCGAAAAGUUAGAACUAGAAGGGGUGAGCUGAAAAGAACCCACGCACCUAGUCAGACAAAGAAGAGAAGAUGUCUGCUUGGGCGCGUGAGAAGAGGCUGGUCUGGCGCGACCAACCAGACCCCCGUCUGAUCCCACGCGCGACUGAACCACGAAGAGAGGAGAGGGGGCCGACUGCUCUCGCCCUCGACGCUGCUCACCUACCACCAGAUCGAGGAGAGGAACAUCAGAUCGGAGGAGGAGAAAAGGGGAUCGAGGGAAGAGAAGGGAUCGAGGGUUUCGGGAGGCUGGCGACCUGGCUGAUCCACCGCGAGGCCUCUCCGCUCUGACCGACGCCCGCGCUGCUCUUCUCCUACCCCGACCGCGAGGCCUCUCCGCUCUGACCGACGCCCGCGCUGCUCUUCUCCUACCCCGACGACCGCGCUGCUCUUCUCCAACCUCAACGACCGCUGCUGAUCUUCUCCAACACCGACGCCCGCAUCGCUCUGCUUCAACUCAGACGCCCGUUGCAGCUGUUCGUCCCCAACUCCGAUGAUAGCCGCUGUGGCAUCUCCUGCGGGGCGCCGGACUCCUGGUGAUUCUUUGCUCCGGGUGGUCGGCUGAUCUCCCGUGAAGGCCACCACGAUUCCUUCACAAGGCCGGGACCUCUGCUGUUCUCCUUCGCCUGCAACAUCUACAGCUUCGAAUUGAAGCUCACCAAGACCAUAGGCUCUGAACUUCUCUCUUCUCCUGUCAUUGUUUUCUGAAUAUAUGCAUUGUUGGAUCUGAAAAUUGCUCUGUUUCCUAUGUACCCUUGCUGAAAUCUCAUGUAUUCUUGCUGGAUGGUUGUGACACUUGCUGAAUAUUCAGAUAGUAGUUAUUCUCCUGUGAGCUGCUGUCAUUUUAAUUGAUUGCAUGAGUGUGUGUGAUGUCUGAACCAUUUACCUUUGCUGCAUAUUGUUUUUGUUUUACCUUGCUCUAGUAAUUGCUUGUUGUCACUAUUGUUUGAUUCAUCUGUCCGGUUGUUCUGAAUGUUUCGAGUGUGUGCUUUGAAGUUCUAGAUCCCUGUGGAGAACACGACAUCCGUAGUUUGGGCGUAAAAACCCUGCUAUAUCACUAACGAUCAACACAUCCUACGAACGCACGCUUCAUGGCGGGCUUAACCCGGGCAGGACUCGCACGCUGAGCCGUCUCGACGAGGUCGGUGCAGAUGUCCAGCUCAGGGCCCGGUUCGCCGAUCUUGCCGAUGAAGACAUGAAUUCCGCCAAAGGGGACCCGGUACCCGUACUCGACUCAGCCGACCUCGGGGCCCCAUCCUUCGUCGUCGAUGUAGAGCUUGCCGCGAUGACUCUUGGUCAUCCGGCCAACUGCGUACCCUUGAGUCCUUCAAAGCUGCCCUUCAAGAACUCGAAACCAUCGUGCGACAGCCCCACGGUGGGCGCCAACUGUUGUGGAAUUAACACGUCAGAUGUCCUCAUGAAAGGACUUAGUCGUGGAGCCAUCGCGACGGGUUAGCUUAAGGGGUUAAACCAGACAAGGGACACGGGAGUUUUUAUACUAGUUCGGCCCCUUCGAUGAAGGUAAAAGCCUACGUCUAGUUGUGAUGGAAUUGAUUGGGUUUCGAUGACCAGGGAGCAAAUAUGCUUUGUCUGGGUCUCGGGUUGUUGUUUCUUGCCCCUGAACCGCCACCGGGUCGUCCCUUUAUAUACAUAGGUUGACGCCCGGCCGGUCUACAGAGUCCCGAGGCCGACUCAUACAAGUGUCCGGCUCGGUCUCUCCUUUCCUAACUUACAAUACAAGUUACAUAACCAUGGCGGUUUACCACUAUGGGCCCUAAUCCGCCUUUGGGCUCCGGGCCUCUAAGCUUCAUUAGUAAAGCGCCAUCUUUUGGGUCUUCGUGGGCUUCAAUAUAGUUGAAGGUGAACCGGCCCCUCCUGGCCAGUUUACACUCAGUAGUUAUAUCCCCAACACCUGGUACUGACAAAUCCAGAGGUUUGGGCAACACCGUGAACACUGGUGUGUGAUCUGGCACAUGAGAUUUUAACUGUGAGAUGUGGAACACUGGAUGAACCUGACUUCCUUUAGGUAACUCGAGCUUGUAGGCAGCAGCUCCAAUUUUGGAUAUGAUCUUGAAUGGGCCAAAAUAUUUCAGUGCUAACUUAGGGCAGGGCCUGUUAACCAUUGAUGACUAAGCAUACAGUUGAAGCCGCAAAUAGACUUUUUCACCUUCAAAAAACUCUUGAGGAGACAUGUUCUUGUCAGCAUAAUGUUUGUACUUCACUUGUGCCCUGUGUAAAUGUUCCUUCAAUCUACUAGUAUGUUCUGUCUGAGCAGAGAGCCAGCUAUGCACUUCACCAUUGAAAGAAGAGUGAUUACCAGCCAGUUGUCCAAUGUUGGGAUCAUGCACAUAGAGUGCCUUGUAAGGUGUACAGCCCAGUGAUGAAUGGAAUGUAGAAUUGUACCAAAAUUCUGCUUGAGGCAACCAACUUUUCCAUUUUGCAGGGCAUACAUGAACAUCACAUCUUAAGUACAUUUCUAGGCACUGAUUUACCGUCUCAGUCUGACCAUCAGUUUGUGGAUGAUAUGCAAUGCUCAUCUGUAAUUCAGUACCCCACACUCUGAAUAACUCCUUUCAAACUGAACUGGUAAAUAUCUUGUCUCUGUCAGAUAUUAUAAAUAGUGGUAAACCAUGCGACUUGACCACACUGUUCAAGAAAGCUUUGGCAACUCCAGCAGCAGUAAAAGGAUGUUUUAGGGGUAUGAUGUGACUGACUUUAGUGAACCUAUCCACCACCACUAAAAUAGAACUGCAGCCCUCAGAUUUUGGUAACCCUUCAAUGAAAUCCAUACUUAUAGAUUGCCAUGGUCCUUCAGGAAUGGGUAAGGGUUGUAACAUACCAGGUGAUUUACAUAACUCAUGUUUUGCUUGUUGACACACAGCACAUUGCUUGACAAAGUUUUCAAUGUCUCCUUUCAUACCCUGCCAAUGGAACAGUUGUAUCACUCUGAAAUAUGUUGGCAAAAUUGCUGAAUGUCCUCCCAUAGGAGAAGAAUGAAAAGCUUGUAUUAGUCUGGUUUUAAGUCCAGUAUUUGCUCCUAUCCAAAUCUGAUCAUUGUGCUUCAAAAUUCCUUUAUGCAACUGAAACUUGGACAAGCAACAAGAUCUAGAGCCAUCUUUUGUAGCAUUUCUUGAGCUUCAGGGUCUAUAGUGUAAGAGUUCAUAACUUCUUGUAUCCAAACUGGCUGAGAUGUAGAUACAACCUGAACUGGAAAAAGAUGAGCAACUAUGGACAGAGCAUCUGCUACAGUGUUUUCAACUCCUUUCUUAUACUGAAUGUUGAACUGUAAACCCACUAAUUUAGUUAUAACUUUUCUCUAUAGCUCUGAAGUCAGCACUUGAUCUCCUAGGUGACACAGACUCUGAUGGUCUGUUUUGAUGAUGAAGGGCCCUCUUGACAAAUAAGUUCUCCACUUAUCAAUUGCCAUCAUAAUUGCCAAGAAUUCUUUCUCAUAUAUGGAUAGCUGCUUAUUUUUAAUGCUUGGAGCCUUGCUGUAAAAAGCAACUGGGUAUCCUUCCUGUGUUAGCACAGCUCCCACUCCAGGGUCACAAGCAUCUGUUUCUACACAGAAAGGCUUAUCAAAAUUUGGCAGAGCUAGUACAGGAGUAGUUGGUAUUGCUUGCUUCAAUUGUUCAAAAGCUGCUUGAGCUUCAGGUGUCCACUGAAAAGCAUGUUUUUUCGGCAACAGAGAUAAGGGUUUUGCCAAUAUUCCAUAGUUCUGAACAAAUUUCUUGUAGUAUCCAGUCAGACCUAGAAAUCCCCUCAAUUCUGUAACAUUGUUGGGUACUGGCCACUCCAACAUAGCAGCAGUUUUUGAGGGAUCACUGGCUACUGAUGAUGGUACAGACCUGGGGUAUGGUCAUAGGCCUGACCUAUACGCCCUACCCAUGCUCAUUGCCCUAGAAGCAAAGAAGCUCAAGAGACAACAUGGAGUACCCAAUAAAGACGUCGAGUGCAAUCCACUCGACCAAUCAACCACUCGGGUACCCCUCCUUUCCGAAGUCACACGACCAGUAAACCACUCGACCAUACAAGAAACCACUCGACCUACUGAAGACCAGGAGUCACUCAGAACAGCAACGGGCAAGCAUUCACUCUGUAGUCUUUAAGGUCAUUUAAGGCAUUUAAGGCAUUUAAGGCUGGCAUUACCAGUAACACCCCAAUAUUUAUGUACAUUGAACCCUCUGUAACAGGAGAUGGCUGGGGUCCUGGCAAACUCUAUAUAAGCCACCCCCUCCUCUGGCACAAGGGUUCGCACCCCCUGUACCACACACACACUCAUAUAAUCCAGUCGACCGCCUCCGGGCACCGAGACGUAGGGCUUUUACCUCCUCCGAGAGGGGCCUGCACUUGUAAACACUUCCGUACAAUCUUGCCGUAGCUAGGACCUUGCCUCCUCAUUCGUACCCCCUACACUUACUGUCAGACUUAGUACCACGACAGUUGGCGCCCACCGUGGGGCCAAAGCGUCUUAGCGACUUCCGACGAGGUUGCAUUUUCUUCGACCUUCAUCAGCAUGGUUUUCGGUGGCGGUUUGGUCAUGGGCCGCGAGUUCUGACUCGGCGCGUUCACUUUCGUCACCGACGACUCUGCCUGGCUCCAGGAGGCCCCCCUCAACGUCAAGGCUCUCCCGGCUCGUGGUUCAGCACACUUCUGUGUGAGUUCCUGCGGCGUCCUCCUCAGGCAGCCGUCUUCACCAUACCAGUUGCCAUCGCGUCAUUGACACACUCCGUUGGACGUCGCUGCAAACGGUCUGGUCGUUCACGACUCCAGCGAUGGGUGAUACACGCAGUGGCUCGUCAGGCCUUCACCCCCCAAGUCGUGGUGAUUGAGCCCGACAUGUAUCCUCGCGGAUCGGUUGACCUGUCGACUGAUUUUGCAGAUACUAUUUCUGAGAGCGGGAGUUGUGACCCCGCGGCGGAGGUCCUCAUGGUCGACUCCCAUCGCGGUCCGCCUGGCUUUCGUCGCAGCAGCGACGGCGGCAGGAGCGUCGGUCCGUCACUCGACCACGAAGAGUACCAGCCCCAACCUCUCAGCUCGCAGCAGAGAGAGGAGCUGCACCGCUGCAACGUGGAGGCUCUUCAGACCCCCAUCAUAGGGGAAACCGCCAAGGCCCGGGCCUUGGAGGUGGUGCGCCUGGCAACUCUGGCCGAGCGCACUCGUCUAGAGAAUCUCUAACAUUCUCUCGACGAGCAUGCCCAUCGACUGAUUCCGGAGCCUAGUCGGCAUCCACGACAGUUGUUUCCACUGGAAACUUAGGUAUUCCAUACACCGAUUCAGAAUUUGGCAGCCGCUGCACGUAUUGCAGAGUCUAUUCAGCUGUCUCGUUUAGAGGCUGGGAGAGGCCUAGAGCAGAUCAGAACGCUGAGCAGCAGGAGACCAGAACUCCGCUGUGUCUCAGUUGCGGAACAGAAUCCACAGCAGAUCAGUGAGAGCAGAUACCGUUCAGUCGGCUCAUAGUCCUAGGUCCCCUUUGCGACAGGGAGGCUGUGAUCACCGUCAGGAUCGGUACCUGGGAAGAGCUCACGGCUAAUAUGAUCAUGAGUACGCCCGCGACAAUUACCGUCGAGUGCUUUCGCCCCUUCCGAGGGAUGGGUCAUACGCGCCCCAACGCAACGACGAGAAGCGUCCAUACGGGAACGACCAUAGAGUUCCAGUCGACCCCGGAGAUCCUGGCUUUGACGCGAGGUCCGUCCUCAUGCAAGGUUUGGUCGACCGAAACAGAGCAUACAGAGAAUGGCUAGAUCGGGACAGACCAAGUGGAGGCAGAGUCCAUGUUUCAGGCCCCGAAUGUUUUAGAAGGGCCAUCAGAGCUGCUGAGAUACCCCAUAACUUCAGACUGGCGACUGGCGUCAGUAAGUUUAUGGGCGAGUCAAAGCCCGAUACUUGGCUCGAAGACUACCGACUGGCUGUGCAUAUCGGUGGCGGCAGCGACGAGGUGGCCAUGAAGCACCUUCCUCUGAUGCUUGAAGGGUCUGCCAGAGCUUGGCUGACUCAGUUGGCCCCUGGGAGUAUUUUGAGUUGGGAUGAGUUAGCUCGAGUGUUCACCAGAACGUUCGAGGGCACUUGCAAGAGACCUGCCGGUUUGCCGGAGCCGCAACAUUGCGUGCAGAAACCGAACGAAACCUUGAGGGACUAUAUCCAGAGAUGGAUCACUCUGCACCACACAGUGGAGAAUGUGUCAGAUCACCAAGCAGUCUGUGCCUUCAAGGAGGGUGUUCGCUACAGAGAGCUCGUUCUGAAGUUCGGUCAGACUGGAGAUAUGUCUUUGACUCGGAUGAUGGAGAUUGCUACCAAAUAUGCUAACGACAAAGAGGAAGACCGACUCAGGAGUGGCAAGUACAAAAUAGUCGCCCAGGACACCGGAGGAGGAAAUUCUAGUCGGAAGCAGAAGCGAAAGGCUGAGGCAGCAGGUCCUGCCGAGGCAGCAGUGUUGAAUCAAGGAAAGUUCAAAGGGAAACCUAAAGGGCCCUGGACCCCCAAGAAGGUGAAUGAUCAGGAAGGAAAUGAUGUGAUGGAUUUGCCGCAUCAUAUUCACACCAAGAAAGAUGAGGAGGGGAACCUAAUUCUCCCCAAGCAUACCACUUGACAAUGUCGACUCCUAAUCCAGAGCUUCCGAGAGAGUAAACCCAGUGAUAAGGACAAAGAGCCUGAGAAGGAAGAGGAGGAUAAGGACGAUGAUGAUGGUUACCCCAAUGUCAAUGCUACCUUGGUGAUUUUUGCUGAUCCAGAGAGCAGAAGUUGACUAAAGUCAUUAACAGAGAGGUUAACAUGGUUGCUCCGGCAACACCAAGGUAUCUGAAAUGGUCGAAAACCCCCAUUACAUUUGACCAGUUCGACCACCCAGCAUGUGUAGCCACCCCUGGGCGGCAAGCGUUGGUGGUCAACCAAGUCGUAGGGGGCACCCAACUGACCAAGGUUCUGAUAGAUGGAGGCAGUGGUCUGAAUAUCUUGUAUGUUGAGGCCCUCAAAGGAAUGGGCAGUCCGAUGUCCAAACUCAGUGAGAGCAACAUGCGAUUCCACGGAAUCAUUCCAGGCAAGAAAGCCGAAUCACUCAGCCAAAUCACUCUUGACGUGGUAUUCGGCGAUGAGAAGAAUUUCCACAAGGAGAAGUUGACGUUUGAUGUCGUAGAUUUCCAGAGCGCCUAUCAUGCCAUUCUGGGUAGACUCACGUAUGCUACCUUUAUGGCUCGACCAUGCUAUGUAUACCUCAAGAUGAAGAUGACGGGCCCCAAAGGCGUGAUAACGGUUUCAGGAAACCGUAAGAGAGCAGAAGAAUGUCUUUAGGACGGUGCUAAGAUAGCAGAUGAGCAGAUGGCAGCAGUAGAAUUUCAAGAGUACCAGAAGACUGCAGAUCCGAGUGAUUUGCUGUGUGCCAAGAGACCUGCUUCAGAGUCUACAUUUCAGUCGGCCGGUGAAACCAAGCCAGUUCACAUUCACCCGACCGACCCCAAUGCUGCUGUGACCCACAUCUCAACUACACUCGACAGCAAAUAGGAAGAAGCGCUCAUCAAGUUCCUCUGUGAGAACUGGGACAUCUUCGCAUGGAAGCUAGCUGACAUGCCAGGUGUACCCAGGGGACUGGCUGAGCACCGUUUGCGAGUCGACUCCAAGGAAAACCCCGUUAAGGAACACCUCCAUUGGUCCGCCACGGAGAAGAGAAAAGCCAUUGGCGAGGAAGUGGCUCGGCUCCUGGCCGCCGAAUUCAUCCGCGAGAUAUACCACUCUGAGUGGCUCGCCAAUGUUGUUAUGGUUCCCAAGAAAGACAAUUCACUCCGAAUGUGUAUUGACUUCAAGCACAUCAAUCUGGCCUGCCCGAAAGAUCAUUUUCCUCUACCCCGCAUUGACUAGACUGUCGACUCAACUAUGGGAUGUGAGCGACUGUCCUUCCUGGACACUUAUUCUGGGUACCAUCAGAUCCGACUGUAUGGACCCGACGAGAUAAAAACAGCUUUCAUCACCCCGUUUGGGUGUUUUUGCUGUCACUAUGCCCUUCGGGCUCAAGAAUGCUGGUGCCACAUUCAUGCCCAUGAUCCAGAAGUGUCUGCUCACUCAAAUCAGUCGGAAUGUGGAGGCAUACAUGGACGACAUAGUGGUUAAGUCACGGAAAGGUUGUGACCUGCUGAGCUGAAACCUUUGCCAACCUGAGAAGGCAUGAUAUCAAGCUUAAUCCGUCUAAGUGCACAUUUGGUGUCCCAGGUGGAAAGUUACUCGGUUUUCUCGUUUCCGAACAAGGGAUCGACGCAAACCCAGAAAAGAUUAGUACAAUCCUCCGAAUGAAACGCCCGGUGCACGUACAUGACGUUCAGAAGCUUACUGGUUGCUUGGCUGCUUUGAGCCGAUUCAUCUCACGUCUCGGUGAAAAGGCACUGCCUCUUUACCGACUGAUGAAGAAAUCUGACAAGUUUGAGUGGAAUGACGAAGCUGAAGCAACGUUUGCAGAGCUCAAAGCCCUGCUUUCCACCUAGCCGGUGCUUGCUACUCCGGUUAGCAAGGAGCCUCUACUGCUUUACAUCGCAGCCACAGGACAAGUUGUUAGCACAGUGCUCACGGGCGAACGGGAAGAAGAAGGCAAGGCCUUCAAAGUCCAGCACCCCAUGUACUACAUUUCAGAAGUCUUAACCCCAUCCAAGCAGAGAUAUCCUCACUAUCAAAAGCUUGUUUAUGGGAUUUACCUGACCACGAAGAAGGUUGCACAUUAUUUCUCUGAUCACUCAAUUUCGGUCGUCGGCGACGCUCCAUUAUUAGAGAUUAUGAAUAAUAGAGAUGCAAUUGGUCGAGUGGCAAAGUGGGCGAUUGAACUUCUUCCUCUGGAUAUCAAGUUUGAGGCUAAGAAGGCCAUUAAGUCUCAUGCAAUUGCAGACUUCCUCGCAGAGUGGACUGAACAACAAUAGCCGAUUCAAAUUCAGUCAAAACAUUGGACCAUGUUGUUUGACGGAUCCAAGAUGUUAAAUGGCUCUGGUGCAGGAGUGGUUUUAGUGUCCCCACGAGCAGACAAGCUCAGUUAUGUCCUCCAGAUUCACUUUGACUCUUCAAACAAUGAAGCUGAGUAUGAGGCACUCUUAUAUGGGUUGUGUAUGGCCAUUUCACUUGGCGUCCGGCGCCUGAUGGUUUAUGGCGACUCAGAUUUAGUGGUUAACCAAGUAAUGAAGGAAUGGGACGUUAGGAGUCCUGCAAUGACAGGUUACUGCAACGCAGUGAGAAAGCUAGAGAAGAAGUUUGAGGGAUUGGAGCUCCACCACAUACCACGGAUCAAAAACCAAGCUGUUGAUGAUCUUGCGAAUAUAGGUUCCACUCGGAAGCCCAUCCCCAGCAAUGUGUUCUUGGAGCAUCUCCAUACCCCGUCAGUACAAGAAGAUCCCUUCAAGGAAGAGCCUCCACAACCGAUAAGUCCAACCAACCCGACUGAGAUAGAGGUUCCAGCCGUGGUUGACCUGAUCAUGGAAGUCUUGGUGAUCACUCCCAAUUGGAUGGUUCCAUACAUCACGUACAUUCUCAGAAAAGAGCUCCCAGAGGACGAAGACGAGGCUCGCCAGAUAGUCCGUCGAUCCAAAGCUUUCACCGUGAUGAAAUGGCAGCUUUACAGAGAGAGUGUCACGGGAUUAGCCCAACGCUGCAUCACCCCGGAAGAAGGUCAAAUUAUCCUAAAUGAUAUCCACUCGGGGACCUGUGCUCACCACGCAUCCUCUCGGACCAUCAUAGCCAAAGCAUACCGAGCAAGAUUUUAUUGGCCUCAGGCAAAUGAGAUGGCGAAAGAUAUAGUCGACAAGUGCGCAUGUUGCCAGUUUUACUCCAACAUGUCUCACAAGCCCGCAUCCGCCCUGAAGACUAUUCCACUCAUCUGGUCGUUUGCAGUCUGGGGAAUGGAUAUGGUUGGGCCCUUCAAAACUGGUGCGAGUGGCUUCACCCAUUUGCUCGUAGCAAUCGACAAGUUUACCAAGUGGAUCAAAGCCAAGCCCAUCAAGAACCUUGGAGCAGGCACUGCCGUCAGUUUCAUCAGAGAGUUGAUAUUCAGAUAUGGAGUUCCUCACAGCAUCAUCACAGAUAAUGGAUCCAACUUUGAUUCUGAUGAGUUCAAGGCGUUCUGUGCAUAUCAAGGCACUCGGGUCAACUACGCGUCUGUCGUGCACCCACAGUCGAAUGGACAGGCUGAAAGGGCGAAUGGUUUGAUCCUUCAGGGGUUAAAGCCUCGUCUGAUGCGUGAUCUUAAGCAUGCUGCUGGAGCUUGGGUGACCGAAUUACCAUCAGUCUUAUGGGGGCUGAGAACAACACCCAACCGGUCGACUGAUCGAACCCCCUUCUUCCUGGUAUACGGCGUCGAGGUUGUGCUUCCAAGUGACUUGCUACACAAUGCUCCCAGAGUUGAAAUGUUCUUAGAAGCCAAAGUAGAGCAAGCACGCAGAAACGCGGUUGAUCUCUUGGAGGAAGAACGCGAGAUGGAUUUGGUUCGGUCGACCAUUUAUCAGCAGGAUCUACGUCGAUUCCACGCCCGCAAUGUCAGAGGUCAAGCGUUUUAGGAAGGAGACCUUGUGCUCUGAGUGGUGCAGAAACAACCUCACAAGCUCGCUCCGGCCUGGGAAGGUCCCUUCAUCGUCACCAAGGUGCUUCAUAAUGGAGCUUAUCACAUCUACAACAUAGUCAAGAAAAUGGACGAGCCACAUGCAUGGAACGCAGAGCUGCUUUAUCCUUUCUAUACUUAAAAUCACUCGACCUGACGACUUGUAAUAAAAGCACUCUAGUUUGUUUUCCAAAGUCAAGAUUUUUACAGUAUCUUAAUGAUUGGUUUCCCACAAUCAUUUGUGUCCAAAUCCCCCAGUGGGUGGCUUAGCUGCGAACUGGAUUCGCCUAAGUUAAAAAAACAUUCCGAGUGGACAGCAAUCUUCCCACUCGGAAGCUUAGUUGCGACCCCGUAAUCGCCUAAGUUAAAAACAUUCCGAGUGGAGAUAAAUCCUCCCACUUGGGGGCAUAGCUGUGACCCCGUAAUUGCCUAAGUUAAAAACAUUCUGAGUGGAGAUCAAUCCUCCCACUCGGGGGCUUAGCUGCGACCCCGUAAUCGCCUAAGUUAAAAACACUCCGAGUGAGGACCAAUCCUCCCACUCGGACGCUUAGCUGCGACCCCGUAAUCGCCUAAGUUAAAAUCAUUCCGAGUGGAGAGCAAUCCUCCCACUCGGGGGCUUAGAUGCGACCCCAUAAUCGUCUGUUAAAAACANNNNNNNNNNNNNNNNNNNNNNNNNNNNNNNNNNNNNNNNNNNNNNNNNNNNNNNNNNNNNNNNNNNNNNNNNNNNNNNNNNNNNNNNNNNNNNNNNNNNNNNNNNNNNNNNNNNNNNNNNNNNNNNNNNNNNNNNNNNNNNNNNNNNNNNNNNNNNNNNNNNNNNNNNNNNNNNNNNNNNNNNNNNNNNNNNNNNNNNNNNNNNNNNNNNNNNNNNNNNNNNNNNNNNNNNNNNNNNNNNNNNNNNNNNNNNNNNNNNNNNNNNNNNNNNNNNNNNNNNNNNNNNNNNNNNNNNNNNNNNNNNNNNNNNNNNNNNNNNNNNNNNNNNNNNNNNNNNNNNNNNNNNNNNNNNNNNNNNNNNNNNNNNNNNNNNNNNNNNNNNNNNNNNNNNNNNNNNNNNNNNNNNNNNNNNNNNNNNNNNNNNNNNNNNNNNNNNNNNNNNNNNNNNNNNNNNNNNNNNNNNNNNNNNNNNNNNNNNNNNNNNNNNNNNNNNNNNNNNNNNNNNNNNNNNNNNNNNNNNNNNNNNNNNNNNNNNNNNNNNNNNNCCAUAAUCGCCUAAGUUAAAAACAUUCCGAGUGGAGAGCAAUCCUCCCACUCGGGGGCUUAGCCGCGACCCCAUAAUCGCCUAAGAUAAAAACAUUCCGAGUGGAGAGCAAUCCUCCCACUCGAGGGCUUAGCUCCGACCCCGUAAUCGCCUAAGUUAAAUACACUCCGAGUGGAGAGCAAUCCUCCCACUCGGGGGAUUAGCUGCGACCCCGUAAUUGUUGGGUAACGUAGUAAUUUCAAAAAAAAAAAAUCCUACGCACACGCAAGAUCAUGGUGAUGGCAUAGCAACGAGAGGGGAGAGUAUUGUCUACGUACCCUCGUAGACCGUUAAGCGGAAGCGUUAUGACAACGUGGUUGAUGUAGUCGUACGUCUUCACGAAUCGACCGAUCCAAGCACCGAACGUACGGCACCUCCGUGUUCAGCACAUGUUCAGCUCGAUGACGUUCCCCGGGCUCCAAUCCAGCUAAGCGUCGGGGAUGAGUUCUGUCAGCACGACGGCGUGGUGACGAUGAUGAUGUUCUACCGGCACAGGGCUUCGCCUAAACUCCGCGACGAUAUGACUGAGGUGGAAUAUGGUGGAGGGGGCACCGCACACGGCUAAGGAACGAUCCGUAGAUCAACUUGUGUGUCUAUGGGGUGCCCUCCUCCCCCGUAUAUAAAGGGGGAGAGGAGGAGGGGGCCGGCCUAAGGGGAGGCGUGCCCUAGGAGGGGAAAACCUACUCCAAGUAGGUUUGCCCCCUCCCUUUCCUAUUCCAAGAAGGAGGGGGAAGGAAGGAGUGGGAGAGGGGGAAGGCAAGGGGGGCGCCGCCCCCCCUUUCCUUGUCCUAUUCGGACUCAAUGGGAGGGGGCACGCCUCUUGCCCUGGCCGGCCCCUCUCUCUCUCCACUAGGGCUCAUCAAGGCCCAUUACUUCUCGGGGGGGGGGGGGGCCGGUAACCCUCCGGUACUCCGGUUUUUCUCGGAAAAUACCCGGAACACUUCCGGUGUCCGAAUAUAGUCAUCCAAUAUAUCAAUCUUUAUGUCUUGACCAUUUCGAGACUCCUCGUCAUGUCCAUGAUCACAUCCGGGACUCCGAACAACCUUUGGUACAUCAAAACUUAUAAACUCAUAAUAAAACUGUCAUCGUAACGUUAAGCGUGCGGACCCUACGGGUUCGAGAACUAUGUAGACAUGACCUAGAACUAUUCUCGGUCAAUAACCAAUAGCGGAACCUGGAUGUUCAUAUUGGUUCCCACAUAUUCUACGAAGAUCUUUAUCGGUCAAACCGCAUAACAACAUACGUUGUUCCCUUUGUCAUCGGUAUGUUACUUGCCCGAGAUUCGAUCGUCGGUAUCCAAUACCUAGUUCAAUCUCGUUACCGGCAAGUCUCUUGACUUGUUCCGUAAUACAUCAUCUCAUAACUAACUCAUUAGUUACAAUGCUUGCAAGGCUUAGGUGAUGAGUAUUACCGAGAGGGCCCAGAGAUACCUCUCCGACAAUCGGAGUGACAAAACCUAAUCUCGAAUUAUGCCAACUCAACAUGUACCUUUGGAGACACCUGUAGAGCACCUUUAUAAUCACCCAAUUACAUUGUGACGUUUGGUAGCACACAAAGUGUUCCUCCGGUAAACGGGAGUUGCACAAUCUCAUAGUUGCAGGAACUUUGUAUAAGUCAUGAAGAAAGCAAUAGCAACAUACUAAAUGAUCAAGUGCUAAGCUAACGGAAUGGGUCAAGUCAAUCACAUCAUUCUCCUAAUGAUGUGAUCCCAUUAAUCAAAUGACAACACAUGCCUAUGGUUAGGAAACAUAACCAUCUUUGAUCAAUGAGCUAGUUCAAGUAGAGGCAUACUAGUGACACUAUGUUUGUCUAUGUAUUCACACAUGUAUCAUGUUUCCGGUUAAUACAAUUCUAGCAUGAAUAAUAAACAUUUAUCAUGAUAUGAGGAAAUAAAUAAUAACUUUAUUAUUGCCUAUAGGGCAUAUUUCCUUCAGUCUCCCACUUGCACUAGAGUCAAUAAUCUAGAUUACAUAGUAAUGAUUCUAACACCCAUGGAGUCUUGGUGCUGAUCAUGUUUUGCUCGUGAGAGAGGCUUAGUCAACGGGUCUGCAACAUUCAGAUCCGUAUGUAUCUUGCAAAUCUCUAUGUCUCCCACUUGGACUUGGUCCCGAAUGGAAUUGAAGCGUCUCUUGAUGUGCUUGGUCCUCUUGUGAAAUCUGGAUUCCUUUGCCAAGGCAAUUGCACCAGUAUUGUCAUAGAAGAUCUUCAUUGGUCCCGAUGCACUAGGUACAACACCGAGAUCGGAAAUGAACUCCUCCAUCCAGACUCCUGCAUUUGCUGCUUCCGAAGCAGCUAUGUACUCCACUUCACAUGUAGAUCCCGCCACGACGCUUUGUUUAGAACUGCACCAACUUACAGCUCCACCGUUUAAUAAAAAUACGUAUCCGGUUUGCGAUUUAGAAUCGUCCGGAUCAGUGUCAAAGCUUGCAUCGACGUAACCAUUUACGACUAGCUCUUUGUCACCUCCAUAUAUGAGAAACAUAUCCUUAGUCCUUUUCAGGUAUUCCAGGAUGUUCUUGACCGCUGUCCAGUGACCCACUCCUGGAUUAAUUUGGUACCUCCCUGCCAAACUAACAGCAAGGCACACAUCAGGUCUGGUACACAGCAUUGCAUACAUGAUAGAGCCUAUGGCUGAAGCAUAGGGAACUCCUUUCAUUUUCUCUCUAUCUUCUGUAGUGGUCGGGCAUUGAGUCUGACUCAACUUUAUACCUUGUAAUACAGGCAAGAACCCUUUCUUUGCUUGUUCCAUAUUGAACCUUUUCAAUACUUUAUCAAGGUACGUGCUUUGUGAAAGUCCAAUCAAGCAUCUUGAUCUAUCUCUAUAGAUCUUAAUGCCCAAUAUGUAAGCAGCUUCACCGAGGUCUUUCAUUGAAAAACUUUUAUUCAAGUAUCCUUUUAUGCUAUCCAGAAAUUCUAUAUCAUUUCCAAUCAACAAUAUGUCAUCCACAUAUAAUAUUAGAAAUGCUACAGAGCUCCCACUCACUUUCUUGUAAAUACAGGCUUCUCCAAAAGUCUGUAUAAAACCAUAUGCUUUGAUCACACUAUCAAAAUGUUUAUUCCAACUCCGAGAUGCUUGCACCAGUCCAUAAAUGGAUCACUGGAGCUUGCACACUUUGUUAGCACCUUUUGGAUCAACAAAACCUUCUGGUUGCAUCAUAUACAACUCUUCUUCCAGAAAUCCAUUCAAGAAUGCAGUUUUUACAUCCAUUUGCCAAAUUUCAUAAUCAUGAAAUGCAGCAAUAGCUAACAUGAUUCGGACAGACUUAAGCAUCGCUACGGGUGAGAAAGUCUCAUCGUAGUCAACCCCUUGAACUUGUCGAAAACCUUUCACAACAAGUCGAGCUUUAUAGACAGUUACAUUACCAUCAGCGUCAGUCUUCUUCUUAAAGAUCCAUUUAUUCUCAAUGGCUUGCCGAUCAUCGGGCAAGUCAACCAAAGUCCAUACUUUGUUUUCAUACAUGGAUCCCAUCUCAGAUUUCAUGGCCUCUAGCCAUUUUGCGGAAUCUGGGCUCAUCAUUGCUUCCUCAUAGUUCGUAGGUUCAUCAUGGUCAAGUAACAUGACUUCCAGAAUAGGAUUACCGUACCACUCUGGUGCGGAUCUUACUCUGGUAGACCUACAAGGUUCAGUAGAAACUUGAUCUGAAGUUUCAUGAUCAAUAUCAUUAGCUUCCUCACUAGUUGGUGUAGUUGUCACAGGAACCGGUUCUUGUGAUGAACUACUUUCCAACAAGGGAGUAGAUACAGUUAUCUCAUUAAGUUCUACUUUCCUCCCACUCACUUCUUUCGAGAGAAACUCCUUCUCUAGAAAGGAUCUGAUUUUAGCAACGAAAAUCUUGCCCUCAGAUCUGUGAUAGAAGGUGUACCCAAUAGUCUCUUUUGGGUAUCCUAUGAAGACACAUUUCUCCGAUUUGGGUUCGAGCUUAUCUGGUUGAAGUUUCUUCACAUAAGCUUCGCAGCCCCAAACUUUAAGAAACGACAACUUUGGUUUCUUGCCAAACCACAGUUCAUAAGGCGUCGUCUCAACGGAUUUUGAUGGUGCCCUAUUUAACGUGAAUGCGGCCGUCUCUAAAGCAUAACCCCAAAACGAUAGCGGUAAAUCAGUAAGAGACAUCAUAGAUCGCACCAUAUCUAGUAAAGUACGAUUACGACGUUCGGACACACCAUUUCGUUGUGGUGUUCCGGGUGGCGUGAGUUGCGAAACUAUUCCACAUUGUUUCAAGUGUUGACCAAACUCGUAACUCAAAUAUUCUCCUACACGAUCAGAUCGUAGAAACUUUAUUUUCUUGUUACGAUGAUUUUCCACUUCACUCUGAAAUUCUUUGAACUUUUCAAAUGUUUCAGACUUGUGUUUCAUUAAGUAGAUAUACCCAUAUCUGCUCAAAUCAUCUGUGAAGGUGAGAAAAUAACGAUACCCGCCACGAGCCUCAACAUUCAUUGGACCACAAACAUCAGUAUGUAUGAUCUCCAACAAAUCAGUUGCUCGCUCCAUAGUUCCGGAGAACGGCGUUUUAGUCAUCUUGCCCAUGAGGCACGGUUCGCAAGUACCAAGUGAUUCAUAAUCAAGUGAUUCCAAAAGCCCAUCAGUAUGGAGUUUCUUCAUGUGCUUUACACCGAUAUGACCUAAACGGCAGUGCCACAAAUAAGUUGCACCAUCGUUAUCAACUCUGCAUCUUUUGGUUUCAACACUAUGAAUAUGUGUAUCACUACUAUCGAGAUCCAAUAAAAAUAGACCACUCUUCAAGGGUGCAUGACCAUAAAAGAUAUUACUCAUAUAAAUAGAACAACCAUUAUUCUCUGAUUUAAAUGAAUAACUGUCUCGCAUCAAACAAGAUCCAGAUAGAAUGUUCAUGCUCAACGCUGGCACCAAAUAACAAUUAUUUAGGUCUAAAACUAAUCCCGAUGGUAGAUGUAGAGGUAGCGUGCCGACUACGAUCACAUCGACUUUGGAACCAUUUCCCACGCGCAUCGUCACCUCGUCCUUAGCCAAUCUUCGCUUAAUCCAUAGUCCCUGUUUCGAGUUGCAAAUAUUAGGAACAGAACCAAUAUCAAAUACCCAGGUGCUACUGCGAGCAUUAGUAAGGUACACAUCAAUAACAUGUAUAUCACAUAUACCUUUGUUCACUUUGCCAUCCUUCUUAUCCGCCAAAUACUUGGGGCAGUUCCGCUUCCAGUGACUAGUCUGCUUGCAGUAGAAGCACUUAGUUUCAGGCUUAGGUCCAGACUUGGGUUUCUUCUCUUGAGCAGCAACUUGCUUGUUGUUCUUCUUGAAGUUCCCCUUCUUCUUCCCUUUGCCCUUUUUCUUGAAACUAGUGGUCUUGUUGACCAUCAACACUUGAUGCUCCUUUUUGAUUUCUACCUCCGCAGCCUUUAGCAUUGCGAAGAGCUCGGGAAUUGUCUUGUUCAUCCCUUGCAUAUUAUAGUUCAUCACAAAGCUCUUGUAGCUUGGUGGCAGUGAUUGGAGAAUUUUGUCAAUGACGCUAUCAUCCAGAAGAUUAACUCCCAGUUGAAUCAAGUGAUUAUUAUACCCAGACAUUUUGAGUAUAUGCUCACUGACAGAACUAUUCUCCUCCAUCUUGCAGCUGUAGAACUUAUUGGAGACUUCAUAUCUCUCAAUCCGGGCAUUUGCUUGAAAUAUUAACUUCAACUCUUGGAACAUCUCAUAUGCUCCAUGACGUUCAAAACGUCGUUGAAGGCCCGGUUCUAAGCCGUAAAGCAUGGCACACUGAACUAUAGAGUAGUCAUCAGCUUUGCUCUGCCAGACGUUCACAACAUCUGGUGUUGCUCCUGCAGCAGGCCUGGCACCCAGCGGUGCUUCCAGGACGUAAUUCUUCUGUGCAGCAAUGAGGAUAAUCCUCAAGUUACGGACCCAGUCCGUGUAAUUGCUACCAUCAUCUUUCAACUUUGCUUUCUCAAGGAACGCAUUAAAAUUCAACGGAACAGCAGCACGAGCCAUCUAUCUACAAACAAACAUAGACAAGCAAAAUACUAUCAGGUACUAAGUUCAUGAUAAAUUUAAGUUCAACUAAUCAUAUUACUUAAGAACUCCCACUUAGACAGACAUCUCUCUAGUCAUCUAAGUGAUCACGUGAUCCAAAUCAACUAAACCAUGUCCGAUCAUCACGUGAGAUGGAGUAGUUUCAAUGGUGAACAUCACUAUGUUGAUCAUAUCUACUAUAUGAUUCACGUUCGACCUUUCGGUCUCUGUGUUCCGAAGCCAUAUCUGUAUAUGCUAGGCUCGUCAAGUAUGACCUGAGUAUUCCGCGUGUGCAACUGUUUUGCACCUGUUGUAUUUGAACGUAGAGCCUAUCACACCCGAUCAUCACGUGGUGUCUCAGCACGAAGAACUUUCGCGACGGUGCAUACUCAGGGAGAACACUUCUUGAUUACUAAGUGAGAGAUCAUCUUAAAAUGCUACCGUCAAUCAAAGCAAGAUAAGAUGCAUAAAGGAUAAACAUCACAUGCAAUCAAUAUAAGUGAUAUGAUAUGGCCAUCAUCAUCUUGUGCUUUGUGAUCUCCAUCUCCGAAGCACCAUCGUGAUCACCAUCGUCACCGGCGCGACACCUUGAUCUCCAUCAUAGUAUCAUUGUCGUUUACGCCAUCUAUUGCUUCUACGACUAUCGCUACCGCUUAGUGAUAAAGUAAAGCAAUUACAGGGCGUUUGCAUUUCAUACAAUAAAGCGACAACCAUAUGGCUCCUGCCAGUUGCCAAUAACUUCGGUUACAAAACAUGAUCAUCUCAUACAAUAAAAUAUAGCAUCACGUCUUGGCCAUAUCACAUCACAACAUGCCCUGCAAAAACAAGUUAGACGUCCUCUACUUUGUUGUUGCAAGUUUUACGUGGCUGCUACGGGCUGAGCAAGAACCGUUCUUACCUACACAUCAAAAACCACAAUGAUAGUUUGUCAAGUUGGUGCUAUUUAAACCUUCGCAAGGACCGGGCGUAGCCACACUUGGUUCAACUAAAGUUGGAGAAACUGACACCCGCUAGUCACCUGUGUGCAAAGCACGGCGGUAAAACCAGUCUCGCGUAAGCGUACGCAUAAUGUCGGUCCGGGCCGCUUCAUCCAACAAUACCGCCGAACCAAAGUAUGACAUGCUGGUAAGCAGUAUGACUUGUAUCGCCCACAACUCACUUGUGUUCUACUCAUGCAUAUAACAUCAACACAUAAAACCUAGGCUCGGAUGCCACUGUUGGGUAACGUAGUAAUUUCCAAAAAAAAAUCCUACGCACACGCAAGAUCAUGGUGAUGGCAUAGCAACGAGAGGGGAGAGUAUUGUCUACAUACCCUCGUAGACCGUUAAGCGGAAGCGUUAUGACAACGCGGUUGAUGUAGUCGUACGUCUUCACGAAUCGACCGAUCCAAGCACCGAACGUACGGCACCUCCGUGUUCAGCACACGUUCAACUCAAUGAUGUUCCCCGGGCUCCAAUCCAGCUAAGCGUCGGGGAUGAGUUCCGUCAGCACGACGGCGUGGUGACGAUUAUGAUGUUCUACCGGCACAGGGCUUCGCCUAAACUCCGCGACGAUAUGACCGAGGUGGAAUAUGGUGGAGGGGGGCACCGCACACGGCUAAGGAACGAUCCGGAUAGAUCAACUUGUGUGUCUAUGGGGUGCCAUCCUCCCCCAUAUAUAAAGGGGGAGAGGAGGAGGGGGCCGGCCUAAGGGGAGGCGCGCCCUAGGAGGGGAAAACCUACUCCAAGUAGGUUUGCCCCCUCCCUUUCCUAUUCCAAGAAGGAGGGGGAAGGAAGGAGUGGGAGAGGGGGAAGGCAAGGGGGGCGCCGCCCCCCUUUCCUUGUCCUAUUCGGACUCAAGGGGAGGGGACGCGCCUCUUGCCCUGGCCGGCCCCUCUCUCUCCACUAGGGCCCAUCAAGGCCCAUUACUUCUCGGGGGGGUUCCGGUAACCCUCCGGUACUCCGGUUUUUCUCCGAAAGUACCCGGAACACUUCCGGUGUCCGAAUAUAGUCAUCCAAUAUAUCAAUCUUUAUUUCUUGACCAUUUCGAGACUCCUCGUCAUGUCCGUGAUCACAUCCGGGACUCCGAACAACCUUGGGUACAUCAAAACUUAUAAACUCAUAAUAAAACUGUCAUCGUAACGUUAAGCGUGCGGACCCUACGGGUUCGAGAACUAUGUAGACAUGACCUAGAACUAUUCUCGGUCAAUAACCAAUAGCAGAACCUGGAUGUUCAUAUUGGUUCCCACAUAUUCUACGAAGAUCUUUAUCGGUCAAACCGCAUAACAACAUACGUUGUUCCCUUUGUCAUCGGUAUGUUACUUGCCCGAGAUUCGAUCGUUGGUAUCCAAUACCUAGUUCAAUCUCGUUACCGGCAAGUCUCUUUACUCGUUCCGUAAUACAUCAUCUCAUAACUAACUCAUUAGUUACAAUGCUUGCAAGGCUUAGGUGAUGAGUAUUACCGAGAGGGCCCAGAGAUACCUCUCCGACAAUCGGAGUGACAAAACCUAAUCUCGAAUUAUGCCAACUCAACAUGUACCUUUGGAGACACCUGUGGAGCACCUUUAUAAUCACCCAAUUACAUUGUGACGUUUGGUAGCACACAAAGUGUUCCUCCGAUAAACGGGAGUUGCACAAUCUCAUAGUUGCAGGAACUUUGUAUAAGUCAUGAAGAAAGCAAUAGCAACAUACUAAAUGAUCAAGUGCUAAGCUAACGGAAUGGGUCAAGUCAAUCACAUCAUUCUCCUAAUGAUGUGAUCCCAUUAAUCAAAUGACAACACAUGCCUAUGGUUAGGAAACAUAACCAUCUUUGAUCAAUGAGCUAGUUCAAGUAGAGGCAUACUAGUGACACUAUGUUUGUCUAUGUAUUCACACAUGUAUCAUGUUUCCGGUUAAUACAAUUCUAGCAUGAAUAAUAAACAUUUAUCAUGAUAUGAGGAAAUAAAUAAUAACUUUAUUAUUGCCUCUAGGGCAUAUUUCCUUCAGUAAUCACCUAAGUUAAAAACACUCCGAGUGGAGAGCGAUCCUCCCACUCAGGAGCUUAGCUGCGACCCCGUAAUCGCCUAAGUUAUAAACACUCCGAGUAGAGAGCAAUCCUCCCACUCGGGGACUUAGCUGCAACCCCGUAAUCGCCUAAGUCACAAAUAUGCUCUGAGCUCCGCCACAAAUACAACGUGCGCUCCAUCCCAAUCCGCAAGGAUGACGAGGUGUCGAUCGAACAUCACCUGUGAGCUACGCCACAAGUACAAUGUUCCGUCCCUAUCCGUGAGGACGACGAGGCGUCGACUGAGCACCACCUCUGAGCUACGCCACAAGUACAAUGUACUUUCAUUCAGCAAAGGUUGAGAAGACCAAGUCCACUCGGAACCGAAAGACAAUCAGAAACAGUCUAAAAACAGAGCAAAAGCCAUGAUAUUCAAAGAAAUCCAAGUUCAGAUAAACCCUGCAAAAGUUCAGAACUGCAGCGGACAGUAGUACUUAGGCAUCAAGCCUGAAAGAGUUUUACGAUUACAUAAUCACUCGGCAUUCUGAGGCAAAUAAGGGUGGGCGUAAUGCUUUUUGGUCACUCAUCAGGAGAAGGGACUGCUGGAUCACAGAAACUAUAAAGAUCAAUGUUGCCUGUGAUGUGAGUGGCAGCUUCAAGGAAAGUGUCCAUAAAGGACUGAAGUGUGCUUCUUGGUGUUCACCACCUUGAGGGCCGCCAACUUGUCUUCUCUGGCAUCCUUGCAGUCCACUCGGACCAGCGACAGGGCAAAGCCAGCGCCACGGUGAGCGGAUGAUUUCUUCCAUUCUUGCACUCGGCUAGGAAUCUGAUUCAGUCGAGUCAUCAACGACUUGUGAUCUUGUGAAAGUUCCGCCUGAGGCCAGAGUUCAGCAUCAACCCGAUUCAUCACCGCCUUCAGUCAGGCAAUAUAAGCAACAACACUGUCCAUGCGUGAUUCCAACCGCAACAUCAUCUUUAGCAGGACAAUUGAUGGGGUCGAGACCCGCCUCGACCCGCCCAGUCUCAGCCUCAAAGUCCUGACAAAGUUCUGCACAGUCGGAAAAAUGGUGAGUCAACAGUAUGACAAGGUGUAUCAAUCGAUAGCAGCAAAUCAGUCGAACGAUAAUACCUUCAAGCUUCAGGACCAGUUUUGCAGCAAGUUGUCCCAGAUAGGACUCCAGCUCGCCCUUCUUGACUUUGAGGUUUCCAAAUUCAUUGGUUAAGUUCUCCUUGUAUUUCUUCAGUUGCUCGACCUCCCGGUUGGCCUCAGAGACGGCAGUCUUCAGCUUAGAGUUCUCCUCUUCCAACUUGCUGACUGAAGCCAGCUUCUUGUCCGCAAGCACUGUCUUCUCUCGUGCCUCCUUCUGGGCAGCAGCAAGAUCCUGAUCCUUCUUCUCUAGAGCCUCCUUCAUUUUCUCUAAAGAAAUAACAUUCUUCAGAUGAGCUUGAAGUUGACGGUUUUCACUACGCACAUUUGUUGGAGUGAAGUCACUCGGUUCAAAGAGACUAAAAUGAGAAACACAGAGGAGUUCGAGUCACAAGAUGGACAGUUGACGAUCAGUUACCUCCCAUGAUAGCUGCUUCAUCCUGGGCAGUCUUGAGAUUCUUCUUCGCCAGUUCAAGAUCAAGAUUGAGGCUUAUUUGCUUCUUGUUCAGCUCAGAAAGUUGAGCCCCAAGAUCACAAGACCUCUGUAGUCAGUGAAUGAGAUAUAUCAGUCGACAGAAACAAAAGACAAUCACAGUGAAAGUUACUCUAAGACUACCGCCGAAUCAAACAUUCAACAGUAGUCUCGGGGACUACACCUAGUGGGUGCACUUAGCGUGCCCCCACUGGUUCAGUUCAAUACUCAGCAUGGUCUGCCCAGCAUGAGUUCAAAAAAAAGAACAAACAUAAGAGAUUCCCAGACCCCAAUCGAAUGCCAACAGUCGACCGUGGUCUCGGGGACUACACCCAGUGGGUGCACUCUGCGUGCCCCCACUGGUUCGGACAAACACUCGACUCAACCUAAGUCGACUGAAGUGGAGGACCUAUCCAACUCUAAGACAGACACACCCUAGUGGGUGAUUGGAUGUGAAACACAGACCCAUGAUAGUAGAUGCACAUAUGGGCAGCGAAGCAACAACGGAAGUUUUCAUUAUUCAAAAAGAUCAGUCGGGAAUCAACUAACCUUGGCAUUCGUUUGCAGAGCAAUGCUGGCAUUAUAAGCCACUUGACUAGCCUCGUGCACCACCUUCACCUGCUCCAUCACAAGAUUCACCUGGAGAAGAGCCUCCCUGGCGGCACUUGGCGAGUCAUCUGGAGUUUGGUACGUAGCAAAGAGCGAUGGUGCCAAGGCAGUCGAAGCAACCACUAGGUCGGAUGCAUGGAGUUGUACCGGAGUAGCAGGGGUCUGGGCAGUCGACCCUGAUGGGAGAUAAGUCGACAAUGGGUUAGCAAAAGUGAUGUUGGUCCAAACCGGAUCUCCGGAUCGCUCGACCACUGUCUGAAGCACCAGAGUCGACUGAGGGACCUGAACCUCAUGCGCUUUCCCGCUUGAUCCCUUGCUCCCCCUCCUCCUCUCCCUCAGAGGCACUUCUUCGUCAUCAUCAUCUGGAAGCACGACAACAUCUCGUGGAGCUACAACAAAGAGAAACAUUAGAAAUUCAACCGACCGACAUCUCAAUCGACAAGAAUAGAUUUGAGUCGAGCGGACUUAGUAGCUCUGGAGGUGGCCGCGUCGUCGGCUUCCUCGUCUCCUUGGGCCUUGUCAACGUCCAUAUCAGUCACGGCGGAGGUAGGGCUGGAAAAGUGUACUAUCCAUUCGAUCAGAAUAGAAGAGUCAGUCAGUGGAAGAAAACACAGAAAGAACACUCACCCAGAGGCAACAAGUACAUCCAUCUUAAUCCUGGGCAAAGUCUUCCGAGCUUUUGGAGGAACAACCUUGGGCUGCUUGGCGACUUUCUCUGUUGGCUCCGGAGUCGAAGUCCGAGUACGGUUCUGAGUUUGGGUACCGGAGGCCACGGUCUUACCGCGCCCGCCCACCGGGUCAUGGAGUAGUUUGGAUCGAUGCUACAAACAAGGUGGUGAGUCGACUGUCUCUUCGUCGUCCGACUCGUCGCUCUCCUAUUCGUCCUCGUCGUCUGGAGAUUGCCAAUUGCCACUCUCCUCCGCGUUGUCCUCUCCUUCCUGGUCCUGCUCCUGAACUUGUUCGCCAUUGGGCAUCGAGUACAUCUUGGUAUAAACCUACAAGAGAAGAAGUCGAGUGAAAGUCAGUCGGAUUCAAAGGCAGUCAGAAGAUGUACGCAAAUACAGUCGGUGGCAGAAACCGAACCUUGUCUGGUUGGUUGCUAUCGCUGAAGGGGUCGACUUUCCUGGCGUCUCUGGGGUUGUCUUUGUUUCUUGUGAUACUCCUCAACCACUGGGCCACAGACUUGGCCAGUACUUCCUUUGGAUGAACCCAUGCAGUGUCGUUGGCUCCAGAAUACAUCCACAUGGAGUGGUCGCGAGCUUGGAGCGGUUGGAACCGCCGACUGAGGAAUACCUCCAGUAAAUCCAUGCCGGUGAUGCCUUGAUUGAUCAACUGGACCACCCUCUCAACAAACAUGUUUGUUUCCACCCUCUCUGCAGUUGUCACUUUUAGUGAGGAAGGGGUCUGAACACGAUCGAAAGUGAAGGGAGGAAGUCCAGUCGACUAACCUGGAGUUGCAAUGUCCUGGCAGUAGAACCAGGUCGACUUCUAGCCCCUGACCGACUCAGGAAGGGUCAUGGAAGGGAAAGAGCUCCUCUUCCUAUUCUAGAUACCCAAACCCCCACACAUCUGGAUAACGUGUGUUUUCUCGUCACUCGUGUUUGCUUUCUUUACCGACUGGGAGCGGAUAGUGAAAAUGUGCUUGAAAAGACCCAGUGCGGUCGACAACCUAGAAAGUUCUCGUGCAUGGAAACGAACGCAGCUAGGUAUGUGAUGGUGUUGGGAGAAAAGUGAUGGAGUUGGGCUCCGAAGAAGUUCAAAAAACCCCAAAAAAAGGAUGCGGAGGGAGUGAGAAACCACAGUCGACAUGGGUGGCGAGCAAAACGCACUCACCCGGUCGCGGCUGCGGCUUCGUCUCCCCCUCCGGCAGCCGCACAACGCCAUCAGCGAUUAGACCGGACUCAGCCAGCUCAUCCAAGUCAUCCUUCCGGAGCGAGGAUCGGAUCCAAUCACCCUGGAUCCAACCCGGCGGCAACGCCGACCACGACGACGAUCCCUGAUUCUGCUUCUUGCUCUUCACCGCCCCCGUCGCCUUCUUCGCGUGUUCCAGCGCUGCCGUCUUGUCCUUCACCAUGGUGGCGGAGCGGCGGCGUCGAGAGCGGAGGAGCCGGAUGCGAUGGAGAAGCAGAGGAAACGGGGAUAAAUUGGACGCGCACAGUGCAGACGCCUCGGCUCCGUCGCCUUAUAAAGGCCCACUUCCGAGUGGCUGACGCGUGGGCCCAAGCGAUCCUAUCAAAUCCCGCAAUAGUCGCGCGCUGGAACAUGGCGGAAAAGGUGGUGUGGGGAUCGAGGUGCUCCUGUCUAUCCAUCCCACUUACCACGGCACGCUCCGUCCUGCGCGCUUCUCCAAAAAUUCAAAUCCCGUGAGAUCCAGGAUACACCAUAACCAAUCGCGCCAAAGAUUCCGCGCCCAAAAACAACACUCGACGGAUGAUGUCAGUGUCAAAACCGGCGGAUCUCGGGUAGGGGGUCCCGAUCUAUGCGUCUUAGGCUGAUGGUAACAGGAAGCAAGGGACACAAUGUUUACCCAGGUUCGGGCCCUCUCGAUGGAGGUAAAACCCUACUUCCUACUUGAUUAAUAUUGAAGAUACGUAGAAUACAAGAGUAGAUCUACCACGAGAUCGUAGAGGCUAAACCCUAAGAGAUAGCCUAUGAUGGUAUGAUUGUAAAUGUGAUCGGCCUUCUAAGACCAGACUCUCCGGUUUAUAUAGACACCGGAGAGCUAGGGUUUACAUGGAGUCGGUUACAAGGAAGGAAACAUAAUAUCCAGAUCACCAAGCUUGUCUUCCACACAAAGGAGAGUCCCAUCCGGACACGAGCCGAAGUCUUGAGUCUUGUAUCUUGACACUUCUAUAGUCCGGAUGAUGAAUAUAGUCCGGCUGUCCGGAUACCCCCUUAUCCAGGACUCCCUCAGUAGCCCCUGAACCAGGCUUCAAUGACGAUGAGUCCGGCAUGCAGUCUUGUCUUCGGCAUUGCAAGGCGGGUUCCUCCUCCGAAUACUCCAAGGUUAUUAUCGAACACGUAGGCCGUGUCCGGAUCUGCAAAAUGAUCCUCACAUACCACCGUAGAGAAAAUGAUACUUCAGCUGACAAUUUUUUGAUGACGUGACAUGCCACUAGAGCCAGGUCAUUAUUCGAACCGUUUUUCACAACCAGCCACACCGCGUAUUGCGAGGCGGUUUCCUUGACACGUCUUGUCAAAGCAGAGAUCGUGUCCCCUUAUCACGGGAUUCUCAUCAAUACAGGUAUGGGUAAUCUCCCCGUUCCAUCAAUCGUGGCGCUUGGGAAGUAAGCGAUUCUCAACAGGCUAGUGGGGAGGCACACCGCUUUCGUCGCCUCUAUAAAGGGAUAAGAGUUCCCCAUUCUUACCCACGCCUUCUUCCUCCCUCGCAUACUCUUGCCCCCUCAAGCUCCAGCGCCCCACCCCAGGUUUUCUCCGCACAGUUAGUCAUGUCCGGAGCAGGAGGCAAGUGGGUGGCUUCCACCGUGACGGAGAAGAAGGUCAUUAAUCUCCGGGCGGCCGGAUACUUGGCCGCAGAUAUAGCGCACCGGCUACCAGACGAGGGGCAGGUCAUUCCAACUCCAGGACCCCACGAGAGGGUCGUGUUCCUGGUCCACUUCAUCCAUGGACUGGGGUUUCCACUUCACCCCUUCGUCCACGGGCUCAUGUUCUACUACGGGCUAGACUUUCAUGAUCUAGCUCCGAACUUCGUCCUCAACAUCUCGACAUUCAUCGUCGUAUGUGAGGCUUUCCUCCGCAUCAAGCCUCAUUUCGGCUUGUGGCUGCAAAUCUUCUGCGUGAAGCCAAAGAUCGUGAGUGGCCAAUAAGCGGAGUGCGGAGGAGCCAUGGUGGGCAAAUGCCUAAUGUCACCUGGCCUGAAGGCUGCUUUGCAGAAACCGUGAAGGGGUGGCAAUCGAGGUGGUUCUACAUCACCGAGCCACGCGACGCCAACUGGGCGGCGGCCCCCGAGUUCCGAUCUGGAACCCCUAUGCGGCUCACCUCCUGGGAACAGAAGGGCCUGCUAUGGGGCGAAUCUACAGAGCUGACCGGACUCAUCAACUGCAUCAAGGGCAUGAAGGACAAGAACAUUAAUCUUGUCAACGUGAUCCAAGUUAUGCUCAUUCGCCGGAUUCUGUCGUGCCAAAGGCGGGCACUUAAUCUGUGGGAGUUCGACCCGGCCGAACACCAGACGCUUCAGAGGCUCUAUGGCAUGAAGCACAAGGACGCGUGGAAGGCGCUAUUUAAGGCCUCUGAAGUACCUCCUCUUAUAACUGAGGACCGCGGGCUCCACGCCGCACGGCACCCCACCCAGGUGAGUUCUCAGGCUGCCACUGGGUCCGGUUCUUCCCAAUGUAUUUAUGGAAAAUUCCUAAGUGAUUGUGUAUAUUCGUUUUAGGAGUAUGUGGAGACAGCGGAGCGGAUCGACAGUCCGGCUCCAUUGCCAGAAAGCCCAGCCAAUGAUCUUCUGAUGAAGAUGUUGGUCCCGGCACCUAUAAGGGGCCGGAGAAGAAGGCCGAUAAGAAGGCCCCGGGGACCCGAAAGGGCCUCCAAAAUAAGGUUGCGCAAGCCUCGUCCGAAGAUGACGAGGCGCACUCCUCCCCCGAAGGGGAAGGAGAAGAACAAGAAGAGGCCGCCCCGUCCAGAAAGGAUGGGGGGCCAGAGACGGCGAACCAGGGGGCCAGGAGAGGCCCUCGGCGUAAGGCCGUCAUACCCUUGUCGUCCGAUGACGACGAGGCAGAUUCCUCCCACGGAGGCGAGGAGGAACAAGGAGAAACACCACCUCCCCGCGCUGGGGGAGGGAAGAAGAGGAAGGCUGCCCCGGUGGGAGAGACUAGGACAUCCAAGAAGGGAAAGGCAUCCCUUCCGGACUACUCCGCCACCGCCGCCGAUAGCGAGGAAGGGUGGCUGCCCAGGAAGAAGCCCCUUGUGCGAUCAUAACUGUCCGCACUCAAUCGUAAUUUCACUUCAUAGUAUUGUUUAUAAUGCCGAACUUGUAUGCAGUCCGGCUAGGGUCCAUCCUGAAGUGUCGUCUUCAGACGGGUCCUUGAGUGAGUCCACAAUGAACUCACUCCCGACGGCCACGUCUCCUUGACCUGCGGACGACACGGAGGUGUUGUCCCGAAGGCUCCCAACAAUGGCGGAGGUGGCCCUGGAGGCGCCUCAAGGCGGCGUCCCAGAUGUCGGACUCGCGGGGUUCAAGGUCCCCGCGGAUCGUGUUGAUGAGAGCCACGGUAAGCCAGGCUCUAAGACGAACACUUCUGGAGCCUUCAGUGGUUCCGGACUUAGGCGGGCAGCCCCUCGUUAUGGAGGGAGGGCCGUCUAUAUCAAGGAAUUCCAUUGCACCCCAGGCGCCGGAUUGUCUGCUGGAAGCGCUUCGCGGCGCUUCCCUAGGUGAAGAGCACCGUACUCUCAUGAGUGCGGUGAUUCAGAAGGUUUCAUCCGCCAAGAGCGAACUGACCGAAGACUGCACCAGCCUCCUAACAGGCUUUGAGGUAAGCAAUAAAAAUAUGUGAAGUUACCACCCGAUAGGUAGUAGCCCCUGAUGCUCUGUUUGGUGUUUGGAAAGAAAAACCAAACGGAGGGUCAAUUAUAAUCCGCAGGAGUCUGACAAUAAUUUUGAAUGUAAUAAACAGGCUGUGUUGCUGGCCGCUGCUGCUCGCAUGGCCGAAAUCGCCGGCCUAACGCAAGAUUUAGAGCGGGCACAGGGAGAGCUCGGCCUUGCGAGGAGGCAGCUCGAGGAGAGCAAAGGUAAAUGAUUCCCCUAUCUCCUAUAAUGAAUAGUAAAUAAAAUUUGAUUAUGCUAACAACGAGACGUCGUGAUAUGGUAACAGAGGCCACCACCAAAGUGGCGUCUCUCAAGAAGGCGUUGUCCGAGGCCGAACACAAAGCGGCCUUGGAACUCAAGGAGCGCGAAAAGCAAGAGGCCCGAGUGGGCGAGGUGCAAGAAGAGCUCCGGGAUCUCGGCAAGAAGCUCGAGUCUGUGGAGCGGGAGCUUGAAGCAAAAGAGGCCGAACUGGUGAAGGCCCUUAAAAAUACAAAAGACGCCAAGGCCGAAGCCGACACGGCUCAGCAAGGGAUCCAGGAGGCCAAGAAAAUAGCGGCGGGUAAGAAAUUUUUUAUGCAAAGCAAACAUGUGGAGGAGGCGUUUCUUUUACUUACUCGAAUCCAGAGUUCUCCAGGGGCAUUCGCAGACCUGCCAUGCAGCAUAUCAGAUGCUGUGGAGUUCUACCGUGCCCAGGAGGGGAGCUCAAUGGAGAAGUUCUUCUGGUCUCAGUAUGCUGGGGCCGAACAUGCAACGCCUCUGAGUGACCAACUGAAGCAGUUGGUCGAACUCCACAAGGCAGCUGAAGUGGCUAUGAGAGAUCUCAUAGUUCGGAUAUGGCCUGGCGAGCUUCUGCCCACCAGCUACUUCGGCCUGAUCAAGCGGAUGGUGGAUUCCUGUCCGCGACUGGAAGUCAUCAAGCGAUACUUUUGUAUUGAGGGUGCCCGCCGGGCCCUUGCCCGCGCCAAGGUGCAUUUGGGCAAGCUGGAUGCGGAGAAGCUGGUGAAGGACGGGCCGCCAGAGGGCAAUCCGCAUCACGUCCCCGAGAAGUAUUAUGAUGGCAUUAUGAAGGGUGCUUGCCUCGUGGCCGAUGAAUGUAGCAAAGACAUAAUUUUCGAAUGAAUACACUUAUGUCAUGUUUGUAAAUUAAAGACGAAGUUACUUGCUGUAACGCCCCAGAUGUAACUUUCCAUAUUUGUAUCCAACUCUUGCCGUCUCCGGCGCUAAGUUAUAUUUAGUUCUCGGGUUCGGGUCUUUGUCUCCGUGUGUUGUUUUCUUUUUCGUGCAUCUCAUAUCAUGUCAUCACGUGCAUUGCAUUUGCAUACAUGUUCAUCUCAUGCAUUCGAGCUUUUUCCCCGUUGUCCGUUUUGCAUUCCGGCGUUUCGUUCUCCUCCGGUGGUCAUUUCUACCUUUCUUUCUUGUGUGGGGAUUAAACACUUCCGGAUUGGACCGAGUCUUGCCAAGCGGCCUUGGUUUACUACCGGUAGACCGCCUGUCAAGUUUCGGGUCAUUUGGACUUCGUUUGAUACCCCAACGGUUAACCGAGGGACCGAAAAGGCCUCGUGUGUGUUGCAGCCCAACACCCCCCAAAUUUGGCCCAAAACCCACCAAACUCUGCUCCAUGUCCUAGAGCGUUCGAUCACGAUCGUGUGGGCGAAAACCGCACCUCAUUUGGACUCUCCUAGCUCCACUUAUGCCUAUAUAUACCCCCCUCCAUUUCGGAUCUCGUCUUCCCCGUCCAAACCCUAGUUCAAAAAAAAAAANNNNNNNNNNNNNNNNNNNNNNNNNNNNNNNNNNNNNNNNNNNNNNNNNNNNNNNNNNNNNNNNNNNNNNNNNNNNNNNNNNNNNNNNNNNNNNNNNNNNUUGCCUUAUCCAUUCCUAUGAGCUUAAAUAGUCUUGAUCGCGUGGGUGUGAGAUUGCUGAGUCCCUGUGGCUCACAGAUACUACAACUCCAGAUGCAGGUCCAGGUGAUUCCGCUCCAGUUGACGAUUACGAGCUCAGGUGGGAGUUCGACGAGGACUCUCAGCGAUACUACGUGUCCUUUCCAGAUGAUCAGUAGUGGUGCCUAGUUGGGGUUAUCGAUUCAGGACCUUGUCGCAUGUUGGGGGUCUUUUCUAUUUUGGCACCGUAGUCGGGCCAUGAGUGAUUUGUUUGAUGAAUGUUAUUUAUGUACUCUGAUGUGACGUGGCGAGUGUAAGCCAACUAUGUUAUCUCCCCCUUUUAUUAUAUAUUACAUGGGAUGUUGUAAUGAUUGCCUGACUUGCGACAUUGCUUUCAAUGCGGUUAUGCCUCUAAGUCGUGCCUCGACACGUGGGAGCUAUAGCCGCAUCGAGGGCGUUACACUUGCGCUAUGCAGCGCUUUUGUGAUUUAAAAUAUUACCUUUUGUGCGGCUGUUUAUCAGAAUCUAAAAGUAGGCCAGUCGUCGGCUUCCGCCCCGUGUAACUAGUACUGGGGUGUUCGUGGAAAACCCGGACACUCUUUGUCCAAAUGUUUGGUCCCUUAAGGAGGUGUCCAGCGCAGCGAACCAGGCAAUUGGACUAUACAACUUUAUAACCUUCACUUAGCCAUAGAAGUCUAUGAUUUUAAAUUUCGGCGAAGCCCCUAGUAUCCGGAAGGCCGAAUUGGGGCGCUAUACACGCCUAUAUUGGACAAAGCGAAUUAUCGCCUAAGGCGGAAAAAUCUUUAGGGAUUUUAAAACCUCUCGAACAGCGACCAGCUCUCGCCACAUCAUGCCGGACAGUUUUGUGCUUUCUCUACUGAGGUGCUCAUCCGGAAAAACCAGGGCACAAUCGCAGUAGUUCUCCCUGCGCUACCUUAGCCGAUUUAACGGAACGUACGGUACCAAAAUAAGGGAGCCGGGCUAUCCCAACUGUAACCCAAGACAUGAUUCAGAGCUGAUGCAUAUAAUGCUAUAAGUUCGGGGUGCCGCACUGUUGAAAGUGUUCGGACUUGUCUUGCCGUAUUAUGGAGCGCUAUAAGAAGCCCCUGGCAAACUCAACGUACCAAAAUGUACGGAUGCAAAAUCAAAUAAACAUUUAUAAAAAAAUGCGAAAAAAUUGCACUGUAUAUUGUCUCCCAUUGAUAAAUAAUACGUUUAAGCGUAUGUUUACAAUGAAUGCAUUACGCGAAGAUAAAUAGGAUUAUUUGACAUAUCCUAUCCAGGAGCAGGCUACAUACAGAUAGAUAAAGCAGGAACAAUGAUCGGGAAUAGAUUCCACCUGGGUGUUUCCUGGUGUGCCUGAAGCCUGUUACCUCCUGGGUUUCCUCUCCUUUGUAAGUCCGACAAUCCGGCUCUUUUGGAGAAGCUGCACUAAAGCGAUGUCCUUAAGGGUAAAAGGAAAGGUUAUGAAGCAACACCGUACUGUUGACUGGCCGCGGAUACGCCUCCGCCUGUGCCCAUGAGUGCGUAAUUGUGUACGCGUGGCAUGAAUGCUGCUUGGGUGGGACUUGGGCGAAGGCCAGACUGCUAGUCAUGCUCUUGACGUGCCUGCUGAUCCUGUUGUAGGGUGUUCCGCCCUUGCUUGACGGAGCUUGAGGUUGUCGUCGCCGGAUUGGUGGUUUGCCGGAGUAGGCCGCAUUGUACUUCGGCCGCAAGGGCCGCAGUGUGUUCCUCUGUACGGAGAGAGCGGUCCAUAUUCCCGUUGACUGUUAUGACCCCGCGCGGGCCUGGCAUCUUGAGCUUGAGGUAUGCAUAGUGUGGUACCGCAUUAAAUCUAGCAAAUGCGGUUCGCCCGAGCAGUGCAUGGUAACCACUACGGAAAGGGACGAUAUCGAAGAUUAGCUCUUCGCUUCGGAAGUUAUCCGGAGAUCCGAAGACCACUUCCAAUGUUAUAGAGCCCGUACAGCGGGCCUCUACUCCAGGAAUGACACCCUUAAAGGUGGUUUUGGUGGGCUUAAUCCUUGAAGGGUCGAUGCCCAUUUUGUUCACCGUGUCCUGAUAAAGCAGGUUCAAGCUGCUGCCUCCGUCCAUAAGGACUCUUGUGAGGUGAAAUCCGUCUAUAAUUGGGUCUAAAACCAAUGCGGCUGAGCCGCCGUGACGGAUGCUAGUAGGAUGAUCCCUAUGAUCAAAGGUGAUCGGACAAGCUGACCAUGGGUUGAAUUUGGGGACGACUGGCUCCAUCGCAUAUACGUCCCGUAGUGCUCGCUUCCGUUCCCGCUUGGGGAUGUGGGUGGCGUAGAUCAUGUUGACCGUUUUCACCUGUGGGGGAAAUUUCUUUUGCCCCCCCCCAUGUUCAGACGCCGGGGCUCAUCAUCAUCGUUGUUGUGCAGCCCCUUGUCCUUGUUUUCAGCGUUUAUUUUGCCGGUCUGUUUGAAUACCCAGCAGUCUCUGUUGGUGUGGUUGGCUGGCUUGUCCGAGGUGCCAUGAAUUUGGCACGAGCGCUCCAGUAUAAGGUCCAGACUGGACGGUCCUUGAUUGUUACGCUUGAAUGGCUUCUUCCGCUGACCGGAUUUGGAUCCGCUGAAUCCGGCAUUGACCGCCGUAUCCUCGGUGUUGCCGCCAUUGUUCCGUCGCUUGUGUCUAUUGCGCCGUGGCUUGCCGUUGUUGUCCUGGACAUCUGAAGUUCCAGAGUGUGGCGUAGUGCUACUGCGAGCCAACCAGCUGUCCUCGCCCGCGCAAAAGCGGGUCAUUAGUGUCGUAAGAGCUACCAUGGACUUGGGUUUCUCCUGGCCGAGGUGUCUGGCGAGCCACUCGUCACGGAUAUUAUGCUUGAAAGCUGCCAGGGCUACGGCGUCCGGACAGUCGACUAUUUGGUUCUUUUUAGUUAGGAACCGAGUCCAGAAUUCCUGGCUGAUUCUCCGGGCUGUUGAGUAAUGUGGCUCAAGUCAUCGGCAUCCGGAGGUCGCACAUAUGUGCCCUAGAAGUUGUCAAGAAAUGCAUCUUCCAGAUUUUCCCAACUGCCAAUGGAAUUUGCGGGCAGACUGUUUAGCCAGUGCCGGGCAGGUCCUUUGAGCUUAAGGGGAAGAUACUUGAUGGCAUGUAGAUCAUCUCCGCGGGCCAUGUGAAUGUGGAGAAGGAAAUCUUUGAUCCAUACCGCGGGGUCUGUGGUGCCAUCGUAUGAUUCGAUGUUUACAGGUUUAAACCCUUCUGGGAAUUCAUGAUCCAUCACUUCAUCGGUGAAGCAGAGGGGGUGUGCGGCGCCUUUAUGCCGGGCUAUGUCACGAUGCAGUACGGCUGCGUCUGACUGGUUGUAUUCGGCCCGACCGGAUUUGCUGUUAGCGUAUCCGGUAUGACAGUCAUCGUCAUGUGCUCCGGCGCGCCCCCGUGAUCCGUAGAUCGAUCUUGGUUGUCCUGCGGCGUUAGCCAGUUUAUCGCGCAUGUCCUGAGUAUUGCCCCGGGCCGUAGUAAACCGGUGCGGAGGUACAGGCUGGUAUUUUGGCUGAUAUGCCAUUUUGUCCCGACCUCAAGGUGGUCGGUCAGCCAUGGGGUGCUCGAGUCCGUAUUCCUCAGCUGCCAGGACUUCUGUCCAUCUGUCUACGAGCAGAUCUUGAUCAGCUUGGAGCUGCUUCUUCUUCUUCUUCAGGCUUCUCGCAGUGGCAAUAAGCCGGCGCUUGAAGUGCUCCUGCUCCGCGGGGUCUUCGGGUAUGCCGAACUCGUCGUCACCGAGGCUAAUCUCGUCUUCGGAGAGGGGCAUGUAGUUGUCCUCCUCCGGAUACCCGUCCGCCACCUGUUCAUCUGGGCUGUCAUGCCCGUCUUCCUGUUCAGCCUGCUCGAAGGCGGGCUGUUUGGGGUUGUAUUCGUCGUCGGCAUCGUCCGUAUUGUUAUCGUCUCCGGUGCCGGUAUUGCCUUGGCGGGGCUUGGAGCGGCGCUGGCGACGCCCAUGCUUUGCUUUCUUCUUGGAGGGGUUAUCCUCCGUUGCCUCAUCGCCAUUGGUUUCUUUCGGAGUGUCCACCAUAUAUAUAUAUAUAUAUAUAUAUAUAUAUAUAUAUAUAUAUAUAUAUAUAUAUAUAUCAUACGAAGAGGUGGUUGUCCACUGCCCUGUGAGCGGUGGCCCCUGUAUGUCUCCUGCAUCGUUGUCCAUACCGUCGAUGUCUUCAAAGUCAAAGUCGAGUACGUUGGUUAAAUCAUCGAUCGUGGCGACAAAGUGGGUGGUGGGUGGGCAGCGAAUUCCUUUGUCGCCUGCUUCCCACUCAGGUCGGACAUAGUUCAGCCCAGAGCCUCCUGCCAAAGAGAGAGACUUCAAUGAGCUCAGCAUGUCGCCGAAGGGCGAGUGCUGAAAGAUGUCCGCAGUGGUAAACUCCAUUACCGGAACCCAGCCUGGCUCGGCUGGCUCGAGAGUGAGCGGACCAGGGCCAUUAGCCGGAUACGAGUCCGGGGGCCCAGGGUUACAUGCCUCCACUGAGGUGGGACCCGUGUUCAGCUCCACCGCCGAUAAGUGUGCGGCCUGCGGGGCGGGGUCCAGCCCUCCGUCCAUAGGCGACGCAACCUGCCCUAGAUUUAGAUCCGGGGCUGCUUAGGGGAUGAUGUCCCGGGCACUGUCCGACAUCAGGUCUAGGCCGUGCUCGUCGUGGCUGUCCGGCGCUCCUGGCACAGGCCCGAGCCCGUCGAAGAUCAAGUCUCCGCGGAUAUCUGCCGUGUAGUUCAAGUUUCCGAACCUGAUCUGGUGGCCAGGGGCGAAGCGGUCGAUCUGCUCCAAUUGGCCAAGCGAGUUGGCCAGCAGUGCGAAGCCGCCGAACACAAAGAUCUGACCGGGGAGAAAAGUCUCACCCUGGAUCGUGUUGUUGGCGAUUGAAGACGCCAUCAAGCCUCGAAGCGACGACACAGAGGAACUCUCAAUGAAAGCACCAAUGUCGGUGUCAAAAUCGGCGGAUAUCGGGUAGGGGGUCCCGAUCUGUGCGUCUUAGGCUGAUGGUAACAGGAAGCAAGGGACACAAUGUUUACCCAGGUUCGGGCCCUCUCGAUGGAGGUAAAACCCUACUUCCUGCUUGAUUAAUAUUGAAGAUACAUAGAAUACAAGAGUAGAUCUACCAAGAGAUCGUAGAGGCUAAACCCUAAGAGCUAGCCUAUGAUGGUAUGAUUGUAAAUGUGAUCGGCCUUCUAAGGACCACCCUCUCCGGUUUAUAGACACCGGAGAGCUAGGGUUUACAUGGAGUCGGUUACAAGGAAGGAAACAUAAUAUCCGGAUCGCCAAGCUUGUCUUCCACGCAAAGGAGAGUCCCAUCCAGACACGAGCCGAAGUCUUGAGUCUUGUAUCUUGACGCUUCUAUAGUCUGGACGUGAAUAUAGUCCGGUUGUCCAGAUACCCCCUUAUCCAGGACUCCCUCAUAUGAUGCUAUAAAUUCACUCAGCAAAUUUUGAAUUGAUCAAGGCGACUGAAGCGAGGCCGAAGUUCUAACAUGAGCCUUCCGUCUAACAUAAGUACUUGUGAAGCGCAAGGAUCGAAGCAAGAUCAACUUCAAGCUUCUUUUCACUCGGACCUCAAUCCAUUCGAGCGAUAAUGAUGAUGGUACAGACCUGGGGUAGGGUCAUAGGCCUGACCGAUACGUCCUACCCAAGGUCACUGGCCUAGAAGCAAAGAAGCUCAAGAGACAACAGGAAGUACCCAAUAAAGACGUCGAGUGCAAUCCACUCGACCAAUCAACCACUCGGGUACCCCUCCUUCACGAAGUCACACGACGAGUCAACCACUCGACCAUACAAGAAACCACUCGACCUAUGAAGACCGGGAGUCACUCAGAACAGCAACGGGCAAGCAUUCACUUCGUAGUCUUUAAGGUCAUUUAAGGCACUUAAGGCUGGCAUUACCAGUAACGCCCCAAUCUUUAUGUACAUUGAACCCUCUGUAACGGGAGAUGGCUGGGGUCCUGGCGAACUCUAUAUAAGCCACCCCCUCCCUUGGCACGAGGGUUCACACCCCCUGUAACACACACACUCAUAUAAUCUAGUCGACCGCCUUCGGGCACCGAGACAUAGGGAUUUUACCUCCUCCGAGAGGGGCUUGAACUCGUAAACACUUGCGUACAAUCUUGCCGUAGCUAGGACCUUACCUCCUCAUUCGUACCCCCUACACUUACUACCAGACUUAGUACCACGACAGCUACUCCCUUGUCUGAUAUAAUAUGCCCCAAAUAUUCCAAUGACUGCUGUCCAAAUGAACACUUGCUCUCUUUCACAUAAAAGUUAUUUUCUCUGAGAGUAGUUAACACUUCCCUUAGAUCCUGCAAGUGAUCCUCUAACGUGAAACUAAACACAAGUAUAUCAUCCAUGAACACCAGAACUCUUUUUCUGCCCUUUUUUCUGCCAGGAAACAAGAAAUUCAUCAUACACUGAAAAGUGACAGGUGUUGUUGCUAGACCAAAAGGGAUUACUUUGAAUUGGAAUUGUCCAUCAUGAGUUUUGAAAGCUGUUUUAUGCUCAUCCUCAUGCAGCAUCUUGAUCUGGUGGUAUCCAGCUCUUAAAUCUAGCUUGGAAAACCAUUUGGCCCCUCCCAGCUCAUCUAGCAGCUCAUCUAUUACAGGUAACGGAAAUCUGCUUUUAAUUGUGAGAUCAUUCAACUUCCUAUAGUCCACACAGAAUCUCCAUGAGCCAUCUUUUUUCUUUACUAAUAAAACUGGUGAGGCAAAAGGACUUAAGCUCAGUGUGAUCAGCCCUGCUUUCAACAUUUCAUCUACUUGCCUUUCAAUUUCCUUUUUUUGAAGGGGAGAGUAUCUGUAUGGUUUGCUGUUUACACGGACAGCUCCAGGUACCAGAUUGAUCACAUGGUCUAUGUGUCUGUGAGGAGGUAGUGUUUUUGGCUCACUAAACACAUCAGAGAACUCCUGUAAUACCUCUUUAAUUGGUGUAGCAACCCCAUCCUUUGCAUUCUUUUCCCAUACUGGUUGUAUUAAAGCAACUGCCAUAAUGUCAUUUCCUUUAUCUCACUUAACCACUUGCUCCACUGGGAUUUCCAUCAACUAUUUGUUUUCAGCUGGUAACACUCCUUGCAGUUUCACAGCUUGUCCUUAGUAAUCAAACUAGAUCCAUUUUUCAGCCCAUUGACAUUGCAUCACUCCCCAUUUCUCCAACCAGUCCAUGCCUAAUAUGAUAUCAUAUCCUCCCAGCUACAAAACCCUCAUUUCAUUAGUGAAAUUGUGGCCCUGUAUCCACCAAGUCAACUGUGGUACAUAUCUAGAGCACUGUAGCAGUUCACCAUUUGCCACAUUCACUGACAAGGGUGCAGGCUAAGUUUCUGAAGUCAACUUAACUCUGUCUAGUAGAGCUUGAUCCACAAAGGUGUGAGUACUUCCUGAAUCCAACAGUAUCAGCACCACCUGGUUCCCAAUCAGUGCCCUAAACUGUAUAGUCUUGGGAUGUGAAGCUCCAGACAGUGCCUAUACAGAAAUAGUGGCACACUCCUCUUGCUAUUCUUCCAACAAUGCAUCUAAGACAACAUCAGAAAUGAUUUGAUGAGGAUCUACACAUUCUGUUGCUUUCAAUUGGGCAGUACUAUUAUUAGUGUUGUUGCAUACAUGUCCAGGACUGUAUUUUUUCCCACAACUGUAGCAUAGUCUGUUUGCUCUCCUAUACUCUUUCAACUGUCUGGCCCUCCAAAGCUCACCUGGUGCCACUGCUGAUUUACCUUCCUGCUUGUUAUAUGCUCCUUUCUGUCCACUAGCUCUACUGCCCUUACUCUGGCCCAUUUGUCUUUCCUGAAUGAGAGCAUAUAGUGCAGCCUGGUGGACUAAUUGUGGCAACUGCAUCUCCACUCCAGCUCUCAAAUCCUCCUUCAGUCCCAUGAUAAACCUGUUCACCAGCAGAGUAUCACUUAUAGACGGUUCAUACAGCUUGAUGUUAUACACUAACUAAUGGAACUUGUUUCUGUACUCCUCAACAGAUCCCCACUGUUUUAGUUUCAUCAGCGACUGCAGCAGCUCCCUGUGAACAUUAACAUCAAAUUCGGUCAGUAAUGCUGCACAGAACUGCUCCCAGCUCGGCCAUCCUCCUCCUUGUUUAUAAGACUGAAACCAGUGUGCAGCAUUGUCCACUAGAUGCAAUGAUGCUGAAGUGACUCUGAAACCGUCAGAAAUAUUGAACAACUGAAAAAAUGUCUCGCAUUGGUCUAUCCAAAUCCUUACCCCUGUCCCGUCAAAUUUUGGAAAAUCCAUCUUCGGCAUCCAGUUCCUCUUCCCCGUCUCUUCCUCAUGCAUCACAUGCUCUCCUUGCUCACCACUUGGGUACGGAUUGGUUUUGUCGCGGAUGGCUCCUUGCUGUGGAGCCCAACGCCGCGGGAGCGGCUCCAAGCAGUCCCUCGGACAGCGGAGUCCCCUGAGAUCAUCUCCACGAGCCAUGUGGAUGUGAAGAAUAAAGUCCUCAAUCCAGACCGCGGGGUCUGUCGUUCCAUCGUAUGCCUCUAUAUUUACGGGUUUAAACCCCUCUAGAAAUUCAUGAUCCAGCACCUCAUCGGUGAAGCAUAGGGGGUGUGCGGCACCCCUAUAUUUGGAUGCGUCAUGGCAUGCCUCCGACGGUUGUCAUGUUCGGUGUUGAUUCCGAGCUGAUAUUCGAUCAGUAUAAUCGUUUCGGUGGCCGUGAUCCUGCGUCGGAGCACGCUUCCUAGAUCCAUAGAUGGACCUGGCCAUACCGUCUUUUUUGUCCAAGUGCUCACAUAAAUCAUGUGUUGACUUGUGUGCAGCGUCAUUAGCCGCCCUAUCGCGGCCACGGGGUGGUCGGUCCGGUGGAUCGGCCGUAUUAUUUUUCGUCGGAAUGGGCUCUAUAGCCUCGUCGUCGAAUUUGGGCAGCAGCUUGUGCUUUGGGUAGCUCUUUGUAUGGAGAUCGCCACCGUAUUUUUCUUCAGUGUCGAGCACUUUAUUCCAUCUGCGGUUGAGUGUAUCCUGCGGGGCCUUGAGCCUUUGCUUCUGCUUUUUCAAGCUCCUCGCGGUGGUGAUAAACCUUCUAUGGAGGUUCUCUUGUUCCAAGUGCCUCUCCAGGAUGAUGAGUGCAUCAUCGUCCGGACUGUUCUCCUCUCCGGAGACAGGUUUAUGAGUUUUAUCUCUGCCGUCACUAUGAUUGGACAGCGGCCCUAGACUAUGUUUACCGUCCCCUAGCUCAUCCUGUGCCAUCGCUGGGUUCAUGGGGUCGUCGUUGCCUUUGAGGUCAACCAGGGUGUUAUUCUUUCUUGCGAUGUUAUCGCUGUUUUUACUGUGGCGGGAUUUGGAGUGGCGCCGACGUCGUUGCUUUGGUUGCUUCUCGAGGGGAUUAUCCUCCGUUGCAUCCUUCCGUUCCUCGCUGUUGUUUAUUUUGGGUGUGUCCACCAUGUAUAUAUCAUAUGAUGAGGUGGUUGUCCAGUGCCCUGUGGGCGGUGGUUCCUGUUCUUCUCCUGCAUCGUCGUCCAUACCGUCGAUGUCUUCAGAGUCGAAGUCAAGCAUGUCAGUUAAGUCAUCGACGGUGGCUAUUAAGUGGGUGGUGGGUGGGGAACAAAUUUCUUCGUCGUCCGCUUCCCACUCAAGCCGGACAUAGUUCGGCCAGGAGUCUCCUGACAGAGAGAGAGACUUUAAUGAGUUUAUCACAUCGCCCAAGGGCGAGUGCUGAAAGAUAUCCGUGGAGGUAAACUCUAUGAUCAGUGCCCAAUCAGAUUCGAUAGGCGAGGAUGCAUGUGGUUCGGAGCCUAUGGCCGGAGACGAGUCCGAGGGUCCGAUGACACAGAUCUCAUUGGAGGCGAAGUCUGUGUUCAGCUCUAACAUCGCUGAGUGUGCGGCCUCCGUGGCAGGGUCCAUCCACCCGUCCUCGGAUGGCAUGAUCUGCUCUAGAUUAACAGCCGGGGCAGCCGCAGGUGUGAUCUCCCAAACACCGUCCGAUGGCAGAUCUAAGUCAUGCUCGUCGUGACUGUCCGGCGCACCUGACACGGGCUCGAAUCCGUCAAGGAUCCAGUCUCCGCGGAUGUCGGCGGUGUAGUUCAAGCUUCCAAACCUGACCUAAUGGCCAGGGGCGUAGCUAUGGAUCUGCUCCAGGUGGCCAAGUGAGUUGGCCCGCAGUACGAAGCCACCGAAUACGAAGAUCUGUCCGGGAAGGAAAACCUCACCCUGGACCGCGUCGUUGUAGCUGAUUAAAGGAGCCAUCAAGCCUUAUCGCGACGACACAGUGGAACUCUCCACGAGAGCACCAAUGUCGGUGUCAAAACCGGCGGAUCCCGGGUAGGGGGUCCCAAACUGUGCGUCUAAGGCUAAUGGUAACAGGAGGCUGGGGACACAAUGUUUACCCAGGUCCGGGCCCUCUCAAUGGAGGUAAUACCCUGCUUCCCGCUUGAUUGAUCUUGAUGAUAUGAUUAUUACAAGAGUAGAUCUACCACGAGAUCGUAGAGGCUAAACCCUAGAAGCUAGCCUAUGAUUAUGAUUGUUCUUGUCCUACGGCCUAAACCCUCUGGUUUAUAUAGACACCGGAGGGGGCUAGGGUUACAUAGAGUCGGUUACAGAGAAGGACAUCUACAUAUCCGGAUUGCCAAGCUUGCCUUCCACGCAAAGGAGAGUCCCACCCGGACAUGGGACAAAGUCUUCAAUCUUGUAUCUUCAUAGUCCAACAGUCCGGCCAAAGUAUAUAGUCCGGCUGUCCGAGGACCCCCUAAUCCAGGACUCCCUCAACCACACCCAAAGAAAUCUAGCAAUAGGUGUUGUAACAUAUCAAGGAGUAUGAACCACACAAUGCAAGAACAUGCCCUAAGCACAUAGAAGUAGCUGAAAUGAGGAGUCAAAAGCCAGAAAGAAAGCGAAAAGAAACCUAGAGCCAGCACAAAGAAAGUGGUGGAAGAUGAUGAUGAGCAAGACUUUGAAGAUGAGGACGAGGAACAAGAGAAGAUGAAGACAUCGUCGGAGAAGAGGAAGAGGUACAUGUCAAACAUAAACCACAAGCAGCAAAGCCUAGGAGGAGCGCAAGGUUGAUGAACAAUUAGAGUAGGUUGAUUAAACAAAGCAAACUUAUGUCGAUUAAAUAAAGCAAACUUAUGUCAUGUCAGUAUCUCUUAUGUUAUUACACUAUUGAAAAGAAUUUUUGGAGAAGUUCAAACUAAGCACACUGUCAAAGUUUUCAAAGUAAUUAUACUGUAGAGGUUCAUGUAAGCUUAUUGUGGAAGUUCUGGUAUAACAUGUCAGGAGGUGUUGGUGCUGUAUUUCAUAAAACAGCAAGCAGGAAUGAAGAAUAAACUGUAGAAGUUCAUGUAAGCUUAUUGUGGAAGUUCUGGUGUAACAUGUGAGGAGGUGUUGGUGUUGUAUUACAUAAAACAACAAGUAGGAAUAAGGAAAUAACCUAUGAAGUUCAAGUAAGCUUACUACAGAAGUUCUAGUAUAACAUGUGAGGAGAUGUUGGUGCUGUGUUACAAUAAAAAGAGCAAGCAGGAAUAAAUGUAAUAACUAUGAAAUUCAAGUAAGCUUGUUGUAGAAGUUCUGGCAUAACAAUCGAAUAAUCGAUGUAGCAAAAAAUAUGCUUGACAAAUAAGUAUUGCCGUAUAAACUAAGUUACUAAGCCAAACAUGACGUGUGCAAUUAUGAAGUUCUAACUCGAUAUCCAGAAAAGUUCACAUAGAAUGACGACAAAGAUAAAGAAACACAAAGGAGUGUAUGAGAAUAUUUUUACACGAAGUUUGUUUAAAAUUUAUUAGCAGUUGAAAGAAUUACAAGAAAAAAAGACAUAUAUCUUCUAUGCAAAAGGCUACAUUUUGAAUGAGUUGAAAAAUAAUAAAUAUAUUUUACAACCCAAAAUUCUCUCCUUCUUAAACCAACAGUUCAACUAGAUCUCAAGCAGAAGUUCGAGUGCAUAUGCUUUCAAAGCAAAACAAUACUUGAUUCUGUGGACAAAAAACUCUAUCCACAUUAAACCAGCAGUUCAGCUAGAACACAUGCAGAAGUUCAAGUUCUUAUGUUGGGCCAUGAUAACCCACAAGUAUAUGGGAUCGCAAUAGUUUUCGAGGGUAGAGUAUUCAACCCAAAUUUAUAGAGUCGACAUAAGGGGAGCCAAAGAAUAUUUGCAAGUAUUAGCAGCUGAGUUAUCAAUUCAACAACACCUAGAGAUUAAUUAUCUACAGCAAAGUGAUCAGUAGCAAAGUAGUAUGAUAGUUUUGGUAAUAGUAGCAACAACAAUAGUAACAGUAACAGUGAUAGCAGUGAUUUUGUAGCAAUAACGAUAGCAGUAGCAAUAGUAGUAACUUAGUAGAAAAAAUAUAAGGUAAAUUCAUAGGCAUUGGAUCGGUGAUUCGUUGGAUGAUAUUCAUCAUGAGACAUUCAUAACCUUGGGUGAUACGUCACUAGCUCCCGUUCAUAAAUAUAAUGUAGGCAUGUAUUCCGUAAAUAGUCAUACGUGCUUAUGGAAAGAACUUGCAUGGCAUCUUUUGUCUUACCCUCCCGUGGCAGCGGGGUCCUAUUGGAAACUGAGGGAUAUUAAGGCCUCCUUUUAAUAGAGAACUGGAACAAAGCAUUAACACACGGUGAAUACAUGAACUCCUCAAACUACGGUCAUCACCGGGAGUGGUCCCGACUAUUGUCACUCCAGGGUUGCCGGAUCAUAACACGUAGUAGGUGACUAUAACUUGCAAGAUUGGAUCUAGAACAUGGAUAUAAUGGCGAUAACAUAAAUGGUUCUGAUCUGAAAUCAUGGCACCCGGGCCCAAAGUGACAAGCAUUAAGCAUGGCAAAGUCAUAGCAACAUCAAUCUUAGAACAUAAUGGAUAGUAGGGAUCAAGCCCUAACAAAACUAACUCGAUUACAUGAUGAAUCACAUCCAACUCCUCACCGACCAGCGAGCCUACAAAGGAAUUACCCACUCCCGGUGGGGAGCAUCAUGGAAUUGGCGAUGGAAAAGUGUUGAUGAUGACGAAGAUGGAAGAUCCCCCUCUUCGGAGCCCCAAACGGACUCCAGAUCUGGCAUCCCGAUGAAGAACGGGAGACGGCGACAGCUCCGUCUCAUGAGACGCGAUAAUUCUUUCUCCUUGAUUUUUUUCUGGAAAUAUGUGAUUUUAUAGCGUCGGUUUCAGGGUCUGCGGAGCCACUAGGUGAUGACAACCCACCUGGGCGCGCCUGGAGGGGGUGGCGCACCCUGGUGGGUUGUGCCCACCCAGGUGCUCCCCUCCGGUGGUUCUUGGCUUCAAAAAUUCUCUUCUAUUGUAUAAAAAAUCCUCGCAAAGCUUUGUUCCAUUCUGAGAACUUUUAUUUCUGCACAAAAGCAACACCAUGGUAGUUCUGCUGAAAAUAGCUUCAGUCCGGGUUAGUUUCAUUCAAAUCAUGCAAAUUAGAGUCCAAAACAAGAGAAAAAGCGUUAGUGGAAGUAGAUACGAUGGAGAUGUAUCAACUCCCCCAAGCUUAAUCCUUUGCUUGUCCUCAAGCAAUUCGGUUGAUAAACUGAAAGUGAAAAAGAAAAACUUUUACGAACUAUUUUGCUCUUGUUUCAGUAAAUAAGCUUAAACAGCACCCAGGUUUUUAGCAAAGAUUAUAACUAACCAUGUCGACAAUAACUCUUAAAAAUUAUAUUAACUCGUAUCAAUGACAUAACCAACUAGCCAGCAAUAAUAAGACAUCUCAAAUAGCAACACGUUGUUAAAAAAACCGUGAUACAAUAUGACAAUAGUGGUAUCUCCCUAGCCCUUUCUGAGACCGCAAAACAUAAAUGCAGAGCACCCCCGAAGUUCAAGCAGCGACUAAACAUUGUAAUUCAUGGUAGAAAAGAUCCAGUCAUGAUGCACCCAACAUUAGCUAUACACAAUGCAUCAGCAUGAAAGCAGUGCUCUCAGGUUCUGGCGCUUAUUUGAGAAGGUGAUCACACAAUACAAAAGUAAAUAGAUAGUCCCUUCGCAGAGGGAAGCAGUGAUUUGUAGAGGUGCCAGAGCUCAAGUUUGUAAAACAGAGGUAAAUGAAAUUUUGAGAGAUGCACCCUUCUUGUUUACUUCACGACCAUCAGUUAUCAAUAUCUUCCAUGCUACACAAAUUAGUAGCGGUUCCCAAGCGGUAAAGUAAAGGUUUUUGCUCCAUAGGAGUUUUUGUUUGAUUAUUGAUAAGUUCUUUUUGCAAUUUGGGACUUGGAAUCCCUAUUAUCGCUCUUUUCUCGUGCAAUGCUGAGUGAAUAAACACCCAACCUGAGAAUAACCCGCUUAGCAUGGAAGAUACCAACUACCUCCUGUCGCUCUAUCAACAAUCCAGGAAGGGUAUUUAUUUGAAGUUUUAGAGGUGGCACAUGCAAAUUUACUUAGGACAGCAGGGUAAUACCGCAUAUAGGUAGGUAUGGUGGACUCAUCUGGAAUAACUUGGGUUUCAGGUUUUUGAUGUACAAGCAGAAUUCUCACUUAGUACAGGCGAAGGCUAGCAAAUAGGUUGAGAAGAAGCCAACUAGAGAGCAACAACGGUCAUGAACAUGCGUUAUGCAUAAGUAACAUUGGAUACUAGCAUGAGUAGGAUAUGAACACCAUGAACAUAAAUAUCAUAGAGGCUAUGUUGGUUUUGAUUCAACUACAUGCAUGAACAUGUGCCAAGUCAAGCCACUCGAACAUUCAGAGGAGGAUACCAUAUCAUCAUACUAUAUCACAAUCAUUUUAAUGCAAUGUUGUCAUCCAAGAUAAAUCAUUAUCCACUCCUAGCUACUUAUGCAUGGCAUGAGAAACAUAUCAUCUGGUGAAUAAAAAUAUAGCCUUAAGUAAUUUUACCGAUGGAUUGAAGACGAAAGAGGGGAUGCCAUCCGGGGCAUCCCCAAGCAUAAAUGCUUGGUUGUCCUUGAAUAUUACCUUGGGGUGCCUUGGGCAUCCCCAAUCUUAGGCUCUUGCUACUCCUUAUUCCAUAGUCCAUCAAAACUUUAUCCAAAACUUGAAAACCUCACAACACAAAACUCAACAGAAAACUCGUAAACUCCGUUAGUAUAAUAAAAUAAAUCACCACUUUUGGUACUGUUGUGAACUCAUUAUAAAUUUAUAAUGGUGUUAUAUCUACUGUAUUCUAACUUCUCCAUGGUUCAUACCCCCCGAUACUACCCGUAGAUUCAUCAAAAUAAGCAAACAACACAUAGAAAACAGAACAGUCUCUAGCAAUCUAGAAAUUUUGUAUACUUAUGUAACUCUAAAAAUUCUUUAAAAUUAGGACAAACUGGGAAAUAUUCAUAUAAAUCUUGUGUAAACAAUUCAUAUCAAAAUCAAGCUUAUGUGAAUUUUCAAAAUUCCAGCAAUUAGCAUGAAAGUUUCUGUUUUUCAGCAAAAUCAAAUCAACUAUCACCAUAGAUCAUCCCAAAGGCUCAACUUGGCUCAAGCACUAAUUAAAACACUUAAAAACAAUUAAUACAGAAUUAAUAUUGUGUAUUUAUUGGAAAAUAGAAGCAAAAACAAAAACACAAAAUAAAAUUGGGUUGCCUCCCAACAAGCGCUAUUGUUUAAUGUCCCUAGCUAGGCAUAAUGCAAAGAUCUAGGUAUUAUCAUCUGUGGUAUUCAAUCCAUAAGUGAUCCUCAUAAUAGUUUCAUAUGGCAACUUCAUUUUAUUUCUUGGAAAGUGUUCCAUACCCUUCCUUAAUGGAAAUUGAAAUCGAAUAUUUCCUUCUUUCAUAUCAAUAAUUACAGCAGUCGUUGUAAGGAAAGGUCUACCAAGAAUAAUAGGGCAUGUAGGAUUGCAAUCUAUAUCAAGCACAAUAAAAUAUACGGGCACAUAAUUCCUAUUAGCAAAAAUUAAGAACAUCAUUAAUUCUUCCCAUAAGUUUCUUAAUAGUGGAAUCCGCUAAGUGCAAAUUUAAGGAACAAUCAUCAAGUUUAUGGAAACCUAGCACAUCACAUAAAGUUUUUGGAAUCAUAGAAACGCUAGGACCUAAAUAACACAAAAGCAUUGCACUCAUAAUCUUAAUUGUAGGUUCCCAUUCAUCAUAGAGCUUUCUAGCGAUUGAAAUUUCUAACUCAAGUUUUUUUCCAAAAGAUUUCAUCAUAACAUCAAUGAUAUGUUUAGUAAAAGCCUUAUUUUGAUUAUAAGCAUGAGGUGAAUUAAGCAUGGAUUGCAACAAGGAAAUACAAUAAAUCAAAAAACAAUUAUCAUAAUUAAAGUCCUUGAAAUCCAAAAGAGUGGGUCCAUCACUAGUUAAAGUCUUGACCUCUCCAAUCCCACUUUUAUCAAAAUUUUCAUUAAGAUCAUUACUCUCCAAAUUAGUGGGACGCCUUUUAGCUAAAGUUGACUCAUCUCUGGUCCCAUCUUGAUCAAGUUUUAUAAUAGCAAACAAUGAUUCAAUAAGAGUUACACCAAUUACUUUAAGAUCUUCAUCAUAAUUAUCGCAAAAACUGGAAGAACAUGCCUUUUUGAACCAAUAUUUUUUAGCACGCAUCCUAGCGGUUCUUUACUUACUUUCGUGAAUAGAGAUCUGAAUAGUUUCCAAAGAUUCAUUAAUGUCAAGCUUGGGUGGCAUAGAUCUAACCUUAAAAGAAUCAAUCUUAUGAGAAAUUGUAUCAACGUUCCUAGCCAAAUCAACAAUUUUGAGCAAUUUUUCUUCUACCAUAGCAUUGAAAAUCUUUUGAGAUUUUAGGAAAUCUUUAAUACUAUUCUCAAGAUCAUAAGGUAUCUUAUUAUAAUUUCCAUAAGAAUUGUUGUGGGAAUUGCCAUAAUUAUUAGAGGAAUUACUAGGAAACGACCUAGGAUUCAAAUUGCCUCUAUACGCGUUAUUACCAAAAUUGUUCCUAUCAACAAAACUCAUAUCCAUAGAUUCAUUAUUAUUAUCAAUCAAAGUAGACAAAGGCAUAUCAUUAGGAUCAAUAGGAGCACCCUUGCUAGCAAUCAAUUUCAUAAGUUCAUCCAUCUUUUCACUCAAAGUAUUAAUCUCUUCAAUGGCAUGCACUUUUUACUAGUAGAGGAUCUUCUGGUAUGGCAGUGAGAGUAAUUUUCCAUAAUAUUAUCUACGAUUUUGGUAGCGUCUCCUAAUGUGAUUUUCAUAAAAGUACCUCCCGCGGCGGAAUCUAAAAGAUUUUUAGAUGCAAAAUUCAAUCCAGCAUAAAAAAGUUGUAUGAUCAUCCAUAAACUUAAAACAUGAGUAGGGCAAUUUCUUAUCAUCAAUUUCAUCCUCUCCCAACAUUAUGCAACAUGUUUAUGAUCAAGUUGCUUAAAGUUCAUUAUAUCUUUCCUAAGGGAGAUGAUCUUAGCGGGAGGAAAAUACUUGAAAAUAAAAGCAUCUUUACACUUAUCCCAUGAAUAAAUACUAUUUUUAGGCAAAAAUGAAAACCAAGUUUUAGCACGAUCUCGAAGUGAGAACGAAAAUAGCUUCAAGUUAACAAUAUCAUUAUCACAUCUUUUUUUCUUUUGCAUAUCACAUAACUCAACGAAAGUAUUUACAUGGGAUGCAUCAUCUUCAUUAGGGCUACCAGAAAAUUGUUCUUUCAUGACGAGAUUCAACAAAGCGGCAUUAAUUUCAUAAGAUUUCGCACUAGUGGUAGGAGUAAUCGGUGUACUAUUAAAAUCAUUAUUAUUAGUUUUGGAAAAAUCACACAACUUGGUAUUUUAUUGAGACAUCUUGACCAAGCAAGCAAUCUAGCACACAAACAAGCAAAAGGCAAACAAAAGGACGAACGGGAAAAUGGUGAAUAAAAAGUCAAAUAUUUUUGUGUUUUUCUUAAAAUGUUUUAGAAGUGGGGGAGAUGAAAACGAGAGGCAAAUGGCAAAUAAUGUAAGUGAAAGAGAUGAGAGUUUAUGAUAGGUACUUGGUAGGCUUGAUGUAGAACCUCCCCGACGACGGCACCAGAAAUUAUUCCUGCUAUACUUCUUGAGCUUUCGUUGAUUUUUUCCUCAAAGAGGAAAGGGAGAUGCAGCAAAGUAGAGAUAAGUAUUUCCCUAAGUUAAGAACAAAGUUAUCAAUGCAGUAAGAGGCACAAGCAAGUCCCCAAUAGAUGCACCUGCACAAACUAACAAACACUUGCACACAACGUGAAAAAGGGUUUGCCAAUCCCUUCACAGUCACUAGCAAAAGUGAGAUCUGAUAGAGAUAGGUAUAAAAGAUAAGUAAAGGUGCAAAAUAAAGUAAAUAUAAAUAAAGUGCACCAAGGUAUUUUUGUAAUUUUGGUUUUAUAGAUUUGAAAAUAUAUGAUGCAAAAUAGACCCCGGGGUCAUAGUUGUUGAGCAACUGAUAGAAAAGUGCAUAGUAAUGACGAUAUCCAAGGUAAUGAUCAUGAAUAUAGGCAUCACGUCUAUGACAAGUAGACCGAAACGAUUCUGCAUCUACUACUCCUACUCCACACAUCGACCGCUAUCUAGCAAUGUAUCUAGUGCAUUAAGUUACAAGAGCGGAGUAACGCCUUAAGCAAGAUGACAUGAUGCAGAGGGAUAAACUCAAGUAAUAUGAUAUAAGCCCCAUCUUUUUGUCCUUAAUGGCAACAAUACAAAUACGUGCCUCGCUACCCCUACUGUCAUUGGGUGAGGAUUAAAGUUAGGGGAGUCCCUAGGGGCCCACAAGCCCUGGAGGCGCCCCCCUAGGGCGCGGCCUCCAGGCUUGUGGCCACCUCAUGGUUCUUCUGGCCUCCUCCCGAAGCUCCGUGCGUAUCUUCUGGUCCAAGAAAAACCAUAGUAAAGUUUUAUUCUGUUUGGACUCCGUUUGAUAUUGAUUUUCUGUAAAUAGAAAAACAAGGAAAAAAUAUCAACUAGCACUGAGCACUAGAUUAAUAGAUUAGUCCCAAAAAAUGAUAUAAUAUAGUACAAUAAUGCAUAUGAAAUAUCCAAGAUGGAUAAUAUAAUAGCAUGGAACAAUAAAAAAUUAUAGAUACAUUGAAGACGUAUCAGUUAGUCCCUAAAAUAAUAUAAAAUAGCAUAUAGAUGCAUAUAAAACUUACAAGAUUGAUAAUAUAAUAACAUGAAGGAAUCAAAAAUUAUAGAUACGUUGGAGACGUAUCAAUCAUCUUGCUUGCGUCGUACCAAACUUGAUACUCUUGGAGUUGUUGGGACUCGAGGUGCUUUGGGUCCUUAUGGAAACUUCCUCAUUGUUGUGCGCUCUUUUGAAGCUUUUGAAAGUUCGGUGGUCACCCAAGACCAACUACAAGUGGAUUUUGGUCCUUGUUUUGGUGAAAGGCUCACAUAGGCGAACACUUCUUAAAAUGACAUGAAUAUUUUUUCCAAAACAUGUGCAGACAUUUUAAAAUUACAAGAACCUUUUCCCAAAAGUCACAAACACUUCUAAAAAUUACAUGAGUAUUUUCUAAUUGAGGUGAACACUUUUAAAACUUACAUGAACAUUUAAAAGAAUAUGCGAACACCUCUAAAUCAUAUAAAUGUAGGCGUGAACACUUUCUAAACUAUUUGAACAUUUUUCAAACACAUGUAUAAUUUUUUUAAACCUUACAUGGUUUUUAAUGAAUAAAUUUUAAGCAAAUUGUAUAAAUAUUUGUCUAAAAUAGAUGCACACUUUUUAAAUUAAACAACAUUCUAAAAAUUCAUAUUUUCCUAUUUUAAAAACAUUAAAAAUUUGUUAUCCUUUUUAAAAAUGCACACAGAGUUUCUAACUAGAGAAACACUUUAUAACUAAGUGAUCCAUUGUUGAAACACAAAGAUUUUUUCUAUUGCCAUGUACAUUUAAAAAUUAAGUGAAUAUCAACUCCAAAAAUAUGUGAACUUUAUUUAGAAGUAUAGACUUUUUUUCCUUUCUAUAAUAUUUGUUUUACUUUUUAUUAUCAAAUACAUUAUAAUAUUUUUAAUAACAUUUCUACGAAAAGAAUAAACAACUCACAAUGUCUCAUUCUAAUCUCGAGCUCAAAUGCUCCUCCUAUGAAUAGUUAAACCUACAAAACAGCAAAAAAAAAA
RNAcentral lists this long non-coding RNA (50287 nucleotides) under Triticum aestivum (bread wheat). RNAcentral's name for it is "long non-coding RNA (TAES_LNC007108)". Lineage: Eukaryota; Viridiplantae; Streptophyta; Magnoliopsida; Poales; Poaceae. The record is from RNAcentral.